RNAcentral lists this long non-coding RNA (88535 nucleotides) under Medicago truncatula (barrel medic). RNAcentral's name for it is "long non-coding RNA (MTRU_LNC008805)". The stretch from base 58095 to 58166 matches the Rfam family "MIR2629 microRNA precursor family". Lineage: Eukaryota; Viridiplantae; Streptophyta; Magnoliopsida; Fabales; Fabaceae. The record is from RNAcentral.
GUUCUCCUAGCUACGUUUACUCUUCUAACAACAAAGUCAUUGGAAUAAGGAAAACCAUGGUGUUUUACAUAGGAAAAGCUCCAUCUGGAAGGAAAACCAAAUGGAAGAUGCAUGAAUAUAAAGCCAUUCAACAAUCUGACCAAUCCAAUACAAACCCUCCUAAGGUAUAUUGGAAAAACUAGAACUCGUUAGUAUGAUUAGUAUUAAUACUAAUCAUGCUAAUGAGUUCUUAUUUUUCUUCCAUUCCUUUUUUUUCCAUUCCUUUUUGGAUCGUGUUUGAGGUUUGCAUUGGUUAUGUUUGACCGUGAUUCUUAAAUAAUGUCACAUUUUGAAGUGUGAUUGAACCGUAAGAUAUUUAUCAUAAAUUUAUAACUUAAAAAGUGAUGUGCUACAACAAUAAGAUUGUGAUGUCAUAUUUCGAUUUUUUAGCAUGUACAAUGCUACUAAAUGCGAUUAAAGUCAUAUUGGUCAUAUUUGACUGCGAUUUUAUACAAUAUAUAAUAAAUUUUGACGUGGUCAAAGUUUGAUCACGAUAUAGAACUGUAGUCAUAAAUUCACAUGUUAUCAUAACCUUAAUUUUUUAAUUUUUCAAUUGAUCAAUAAUUUAUUUUGGUGUGUUGUAGCUGCGACACGAAUUCAGCUUGUGUCGCGUUUAUGUGAUAUCGGGAAGCUUUAGUUCGUUUGAUCGAAGACCAUUAGAGAGGCCAAUGACGGAGUUACAACAUGCUGCUUCAACAAGUACUCAACAAGUGGUGGCAGAGCUCAAUGGAUCAAACUCGUAUGCAACUUCUCGAGGGAUAGAGAGAGACCAUGAUGCUUCUCUUAAUAUUGGAGGGUCAAGUGGCACAAAUUGGAAUGAUGUACCAAAUAAUGGGGUUGAUGAACCUGAACCUAUUUGGGAAUGGGAACAACUAAAUUGGAUCUAACCUUUUAAGUCAAAACAUGCAUAUACCUUGCAAGACCUCUUCUUGUGGAUGUGGUUGGUAAACAAAGACCAAGACAAUCAUCUAAAUGUUGGGCAUAAUUAAAUCCUAAACCAGGAAUUUGUUUACAAUAGAAAAAAGUAAUAUCUUGUCAUUCUUUUAGAAGUAAUCACAUACUAUAUUUAUGUUUUUUUUUUAAGGAAGACUAUAUUUUCCUUAUGUUAUAGUAUGAAGUUUUCAAAGGAUGAUUAAUCUUUGUAGAAAACCAUAGAUUCUGCUCUCCAAAACACAUUAAUGUUUUGAAUAUUUCUCCAUCUCAAGUGUAAUGUCGUUUGUAAAAAGACUAUACGGUGAUAAUAGGCUAGACGUAAAAGAGGCUCAUAUCUUGGUCUAUAUUAAGUUUAAAUUAGAUAUUUUUUAGAAUAGACGAUGUUAAGGCAUUUUAGAAGUCUAUUUAACUAAAUACUGCAAUCCGAAAAAAAAUAUUCAAAACACAUGUAUAUUUCUUUCUUUCUUUGGUGGAAAGGGUAGGCAUUUGUCAAUAGGUGGUAGGGUGGUCCUUACUAAUUUUAUCUUGAACAGUUAUCGCUUUUCUACAUCUCAUUUUUUAAAGCUCCAAAAGAAUUUAUCAAAAUACAAAGAAGAUUCUUGUGGGGUGGGGGCUUGAAAAAUAUGUAUCUCUUCUAAGCAAGUGGUUGUGUUAGGCAAGAUUUCUCAAUCCAGAAGGAGCCACAUUUGGAAGGCAAGAUUCUUUAUGGUGGCAUGUUCAACACUAGAUUUGGACAAUUUAGAAUCAAAUUGGUUUUCCUAGGUGGUGCAAAAAGAGCUUGGAAAUGACGUUAAUAUUUCUUUUUGGAAGGAUUGGUGGAUCGGAGAGCAACCAUUGUAUUUAUGUUUUCCACAGCUAGUUAAUCUAUUAUCAAAUAACGACUUAAUGUUGCAGAUUCCGGUUAUUGGUGGAAAACAAAUGCUUUUGGACGUGGAAUUGGAACAUGCCGAAGUUAAUGUUGCUAAUGAGAUUUAUUGAUCCAAUAGUUGAAAUUAGCUUUUACAUAGUGCAAGAUUCGUCUCACUUGUGCAUUAUAAAAUUAACCUCAAACAAUACGUAUUGUUCAAAACAUUUUUUAUAAUGUGGGAUCAAAGGAUAUCCAAUGGACUAUACUCAUAGUUGGUGUGACCUUUUUUGUUUCUUAUAAACUAACUCUAGUCUCUAGUAUAGUAUCCCUAAAAAACAAAACUCUCUAUUGAUCAAAUUUUUUCAAGAAGUAAAAAUAUAGUAUAGUAGUGUCGUUAAAUGACAUCAUUAAUUAACUUCAGGUUCGUCGUAUCUGCAACCAAUUUAAGCUUGCGCCAAAAUUGUAUGACAAAGGAAAAGAAUCAUUUUGGUGCUCUCAGUUUAUGAUUCCUUUUUGUCUCCAUACACAUCUUUUUCAUUACCAAACUUCUCUUUACUGUUCUGUUCAUUAAUAUUACCAAAAACAAAAUAUCACAGUUGUUAUAGUCCUCUUUUCCACACAAUCAUUUCUCCUUCAAUCUGACCACAAUCACAAAACAAACAAAAAACACCCUUCCGCAAAAGAUGGGAACUAGUCUUAUGUUAAUUUCUCCACCGCCUCCAACAAAAACUCACCAACUCACACCUUCAACAUUCCCUUUCCUCAAAACCCAUCAAACAAUAUCACUUCCUUCUUCAAGAAAAACUAAUACCAUGAUCAACAGUACCAAAAAGUUUGGAAAUUUCCUUGACUUAAAAUCCGAGUAUCAACCCGAAGCCUUAGAUUUCGAUCUUCCAUGGCACCACCCUUCUGAUCGUUCUCAAUUCGACGUGAUCAUAGUCGGUGCUGGCCCUGCAGGAAUUCGCCUUGCGGAACAAGUUUCCCUUUAUGGAAUCAAGGUUUGUUGUGUUGAUCCUAACCCUCUAUCUAUGUGGCCAAAUAACUAUGGUGUGUGGUUGGAUGAGUUUGAAGGACUUGGGCUAGAAGAUUGUUUAGAUAAAACAUGGCCUAUGGCUUCUAUUUAUAUCGAUGAUAACAAAACAAAGUAUUUGGAUCGUUGCUAUGGAAGGGUUAGUAGGAAGAAACUUAAGGAGAAAUUGGUUAAAGGUUGUGUUUUUAACGGAGUUAGAUUUUACAAGGCUAAAGUAUGGGAGAUUAAGCAUCAUGAGUUUGAGUCUAUUGUUGUUUGUGAUGAUGGAACAAAGUUAAAAGGGAGUUUAGUUGUUGAUGCUAGUGGUUUUGGUAGUAAUUUUACAGAUUAUGAUAAUCAUAAGUUGAGAAAGAAAAACUAUGGUUGUCAAAUUGCUCAUGGAGUUUUGGUUGAAGUUGAUGGUCACCCUUUUGAUUUGGAUAAAAUGGUUUUGAUGGAUUGGAGAGAUUCCCAUUUGGGAAAUGAACCUUAUUUGAGAGAUGGUAAUUCAAAGUUUCCAACUUUUUUGUAUGCUAUGCCAUUUAGUUCCAAUUUGAUUUUUCUUGAAGAAACUUCGCUUGUUAGUCGUCCGGUUUUGUCUUACAUGGAUGUGAAGAGAAGAAUGGUUGCAAGGUUAAGGCAUUUGGGAAUUAAUGUGAAGAGGGUAUUGGAAGAUGAAAAGUGUUUGAUUCCAAUGGGAGGACCUUUACCAAGGAUAUCUCAAAAUGUGAUGCCAUUUGGUGGAAAUUCUGGUAUAGUUCAUCCUUCAACUGGAUACAUGGUGGCUAGAACAAUGGCACUAGCACCUAUUGUAGCUGCUUCUAUUAACGAGUGUCUUGGCUCUACAAGAAUGAUAAGAGGGAAAAAUCUUUAUGCUAAUGUUUGGAAUAGUAUGUGGCCUAUUGAGAGAAGAUUUGUUAGGGAAUGUUACUGUUUUGGAAUGGAGACUUUGUUGAAGCUUGAUUUGAAUGAGACUAGAAGUUUCUUUGAUGCAUUCUUUGAUUUGAAACCUUAUUACUGGCAAGGGUUUUUGUCUUCAAAAUUGAGUUUAAAGGACUUUGCUUUGUUAAGCUUAUCACUCUUUGGACAUGCCUCAAAUUCAUCUAGGUUUGAUAUUGUCACAAAGUGUCCUGUUCCAUUGGCUCAAUUGAUUGGUAAUAUUGCUUUAGAAUCUAUAGGAUGAUGGAAGGUUUUGAAAUACAAAUUUAUGGUUUGUUCCCGUCAUAGCUGAACUUUAAAAUUGAUCUAUUGAAUUAUCAAUAAUAAUAUCAUAGUUUACUAGUUGAUAAUUAGUACAUUGAAUUGAAUUUGUUAUUGACAUCCACUGCUUGAAAUAUCUAGCAACCACUAGAUAUAAGAACAUGGUUGGUUUUAUAAAUUGUUCUGUUGUUAUGUAUUUUUUUGUUUUUUAACUAUCAUUUUGUUUUUACUUGUUUUCAAAUAUUACACGUGAAACAAAAAAUUUAGCACAAGAUGAACCAAAAAUGAGCUGCAUAGUAUCAGAAUUCAACAAGGUACUAACACAUGAAAUAAUUAGCAACAUAGGGGAGUGGAUUAAUAAUGGGUGGUCAUAGAGGCUAUCUUGGAAGCGUAAUGCUAUUGAUUGGGAGGCCUAACUGGUGCAGAAUUUGAAUACGCUGCUGCUGUCAGCGUCUCCAAGGCAGGACCAGCCUGAUACUGGGUCUGGAAACUAGAGUCUACACAGAGAUUCAGCUGCAAAAGCUGAUGUAGAAUGCUGUCAGAUUUAUAUGCAGGCGACGAGUUUAAAGUAGCAUAUCACCUAAUUUGGCGAUGUGUCGAAAGUCCAGGUUUUCGUGUGGAAGCUCCUGCAGAAGAGGCUGCAGUCAAUGUUGAAUUUAAUCACAAGAAACAUUAUGCCUGCGGAUCAUAAUUCAUCCUUUGUGUUCUGUUCUGACAAUAAUUAGAGCGAGGAACAUCUAUUCUUCGGCUGUCAGUGAAGUUUUGUGGUUUGGUUGGAGUUUUAUCAGUGGAUUGGAGUGUCAAUUGUAACUCAUGUAGAUCCUGUGGUUCAUCUGCUGCAGCAUAAUGUGUCUUUAUGGGGAGUGAAAAACAAAAGGCUCGCUCGGUCUGUUGUUGUGGUGAGCGGUUGUUUGGUCUCUAUGGAUUGCUAGAAAUAAUAUAAUUUUUAUGGACAGUAUUCCUAAUGUGUUCAAUCUCUUAGUUGGAAAUGAAUGUCGUCGAAAAUAGGUAGCAGACCGAAAAUGACAUUCUCUGGCUGGAGUUUAUGCUAUUUAGAAUGUUAUAAAAGUUGAACAUUGUGUAUUGGGGUUGAGUACCUUAUGUACUCAUAUGCAUCUUAUUUGAAUUAGAGCUUCUAUUUCAGUUUUUCAAUAUAUUAAUUACUUUUCUGAUAAUGAAAAUUAAAAUCAAAGCUAAAUUUCACCAUUGGGUUUUAGGUGCAAAAGUGGAACAUCUGAACAUGGCAUAUUCUCAUGCACAUGUUAUUUCGACUUAGAGCUUCUACAAAUUACUUGUAUCACCUAGGAGGAGCAUGCCAUUGGUUGGAUAAUAGGCUUUCACUUUAUGUGGCUCUCUAUUUCAUGAUAAGCUUUAGAGAAACUAAAGUAGUAAUAUAGACAUUAAAGUAAUAACGUUGAUUCCAAAACAAAGAAUACCAAUAUAUUUUUACAAUUUUCUUUUUCUAAUCCUAAACUGUCACUUCUAACCCAAAUAACACCCCUGCGUGCAUAGUGAUUCCAUUGUUGACAAAAUAAAUGUCCUUCAUCUUCUUAAAAGCUUGCCAUGUCAACAAACUAUCUGACGCGGCUUGAUGAGAGUUUCCGACCGCCCGGCUGACCUUGAGUUUAGUGGCAACACGUUCCAGACCACCAUAUAAGUUGCAGAAUUUGAUCAUAUACUUCAUAUCAUAGACAUUCUGUCCAAAUAUUUGUGUUAAGAUGCUUAAGAAUUCCUCCAAUCGAGACGGUAAGUAAUUCUGAGUCAAAAUCUUAACUAGAUACCCAAAAUCAUAUGAGCUGUGAAAUGUAACCCAAGAAACUCCACUGUUGACUAGUCCAGACUUCAGUCUGAAUAAUUUAGCAAAUUCUAGAGAAUCGACACCGUAAAUUAAAUUACGUUUAAAAUCGAUGCCUUGACGACGAAGCAAUUCGAUAGAGUCUGGAUUUUGAAGAUCACGGUCCACGUCAAAAUCUUUGAAAUUAAAUUCCCAAAUAUAGCUGUAUGCAACAUCUCCAGGUAGGUUACCAUUUGCAUCAGUGAGAGUAAGACCUAGUUGAAUCAAGUUGAGAUUAUCCACGUUAGCCUUCAAGAAACUGUACUGUUCUGAUGGAUCCAUAUGGCGGAGGUGAUACGGUAUAUUGGGAUCAAAGUUAGGUGCAACGACGACACCAGGAAACUCGGUAUCCAUUGAUACAUAGGGAAACAUGUGAACGAAAUCUCUUAUAAGAUCAAAUUCACGCUCCAGAUUUUCAGCCCACACCUGACGAAUCUUAAUAGGUUUAUUUGAAGCAUCCUCCUCCUUCACUUUGGUCAUGAUGAUGGAAUUUCUUCAACGUAACUCUCGAUUUGAACUUCAACAACUCUCAGAGCCGCUUCUCAAUAGAGUUAUUUUUUUCCUUUCUUUUGCGAUUUGAUUUUAGGUUAUGAGGGUGGGUGGUUUUAUAUUUAUACAAAGAGGAAAGUUGUUACUUGGAAAGUGGGGAAGUGAUUGAUAUCAGUUUAUAAAUUUUGGAUCGGUUAUAAGUGAUUUGAUUUGAUUUACUUUUAUUCAUCAGAAUAGUAGGAUUUUUGUUUUCUUUUAUUUAACUUCUAGAAAAAAAGAUUUUAUUAUAUUUUUCCACAAAAUAAUGAUUUGAUUUUUUUUUUAUGAAUGAAAGCUUUUAUUUUUACAGAAUUUGAUUUUCUUAAAGAAAAAAAUUGUUUUUUUAUUCAUACUUAGUAUAUCAUUUUCUUUUUAAUUGGUUUAAAUAUUUGUAAAUUUUUAAACCAAGAAAUUUGACUCAAGUAGUCAACAAACGCUACUAAAGAUGAUUUUCUCAUGAGAUUAUGGACUCAUAACGAAUCCUUAUUAUACUUUUUUUUAUCUUCUGAACAAAUUCCGAAUUACUAGGGCCCUUAUUUCCUCAAAACCAAAGUUUAACACACAAAGGAAACAUUUAUAAUUUUGCAUAUCUCUUUUAUAUUAACAUAAAUAUAUAGUGAAAUAUUCUUUAAAAAAAUAUAUAAUGAAAUAUUAUAACUAAGAGUCCUUUUCAUGGUUAAGGUAUGAUAGAAAUUGAUAAGAUAGUUGGAUAACGAUAUAUGAUAAGAUCGAAAAUUUUAGAAAUAAUUAUAUUAGUAAUAGAUAAAUAUUCAUUGUGUCGAAAAAAAAUUAGCUAUAUUUUUAUACUUCGAUAACUUUCAUAUCAAUUUUAUUUUUUCAAUUAAAACAUUUUUUUAUUUUUUAAUUCUAAAUUAUAUUUAAUUUUAAUUUCUAUAAAUUACAUAAAACAGCAUCAUUCCAUCCUUCCUUAAAAAAAAAAAAAAAGCAAUAUUUCCCCAAAUUAGAUAUAACUUUUGAGUUUACUAUUAAAUAUAUUUAUUUAUUUACAUUAUUUUAUAUUUGAUAAUAUUUUAUUUUUUAUUUUAAUUAUUAUUUUUUAUGAAUAGAAAUAUAACUGGGUAUCUAGAAUUCACACUGCUCACACACAUAUCAACCAUUUACACAAGACUUCGAUUAUAUUUUGAACAAUUUUUUACCUUCCAAACUAUAUUUUAUAACAAUAAGGAAAAAGAUAUUUUUUAUCAUAUCAUGUUGUUUUAAUGGAACUUUAGAAUUUCUUGAGGUAUAGUUUUAUCAUUUAUUAUGAUCUUAUUUAAGUCGAAAAAUUAAUUUCUACAGUUGUCAUACAACUAUCCAAUUAAAAAAAGAAAAAAAUCAACUCCACUUCACAAUAAAAAUUUCACUAAGUAUAGAAAAAUAAGGUCUGGUCACCUUGGAUUCUCACACCCCUACCCUCAAACCAUCCGCUGGUGUGCAAUUUGUUGUAUUCAGAUUUAAACGCAUGGAAUCUAAACAUAAUCAGUGCCAAUUUUUCCAUAGCAGAUGCAAAACUAUUCUUAGUAUUCCUCUUCGUGCUCGCUGCCUCCAAUAUACUCGAGUAUGGAAACACUCUUUUCAUUUUGUAUAUUGAUUGAUAAGCGGCAAAUUACGUCAUAUUUUAUAGCAUUUAUCAACUUGUUUUGUAAGUAAUUCAAUAAAAAAAAAAAAAAAAACAAUUUUAUAUAAAUAUAAUUUAUAUUUGUAAACUAUGUCAGAAAGCUAUUAUGUAUGUUUCCCAUACCUUUUUAUAGGUUUUGGACAUGACUACGCCAAUAUAUAUCAAAGUAAGACAAGCACAUGCGCCAAGAUCUAAGUCAAAACAUCACAAAGACAUCUCCAUCAAGAAGAUUUUGAUUUUUUUCUUGAAUAUGAAACCUUGAACCUUCAUCUUUAAAUUUAAAUUAUGUCUCUUGUCUUAUGAUAGAGGAGCACCCAUUUAAAUUAUAUGGUUUUGUUCAAGUUGGGGAGAGAAAGGAGGCUUACUUGUAAGACAAUUAACAUGGUGAAUUUUCAAAAUACUAUCUUGAUAACAAUUAGAAUAAUGAAAAGAAAAAGAAAAGAAAAAAAAAAGAAAUAAGUUGUCAAAGGUAGUGUAUUACAAAUGUUUAUAUCACCAAAGGAUUGUAAAAGAGGAGAUUUGUGAUUGUAACUAGUUUUGUUUCUUGUAUAAUAUCAAAUGUAUGAAUGCCCCUCUAUACCAAGGUUACUUUGAUUCAAAUGCUCAUGCAAAUGACACUUCUUUGUAACCAUUACAACUCUCAAAAAGACCUUAGUGAUAUAUGAUUUAGUGCUUUCAAACUGAUAUGCUUAGAUGAAUGCCUAGCUUGAUUAGAAUGUUAGCAUAAUUGUCGGAUGUGAGUUCAAGUUCACAAAUGUUCUUCAAUUAUUUAUUUUUUAAGAAAAGGUUCUUCAAUUUUAUUAUUUACUUGUAAAUAAGUGUGUUAGGUGUGAUUCAUUAGUGAUUAUGUUGUUGACUUGGAAUGUAUGAAAUGAAUUAAGUGUAUUGGACGAACGCAUAAAAAGAGGUCUAUAGAUACAAUCCAAACAGCAGAAAAAUCCUCUAAGAAGCUUUAGAUCAAUUCACAGUAUGCCAGCAGAAUGAAUUCAAACAUAAAUUCAGAUUUUAUUUUAACAUGUUCAAUCAUUUGAUAAAUUCUAAACAAAUAUUACCCAUCAUUUUAGCCAAUAGCUCAGGACACUUUCUGGCAAUAGCAAACCUAGAUGGAUUUGAGGCAUGUGCAAACAAUGACAUACUCAACCAAACAAUGUCAUUUAAAGUCAAGCUUGAAGAGAGGAACCCUUGCAUGUAAUAAGGUUUUAACUCAAAGAAUGCAUCAAAAAAUUGCCUAGUUUCAUUCAAAUCAAGCUUCAAUAGAGUCUCCAUUCCAAAAGUGUAAAAUUCUCUGGAGAUUCUGCUCUCAAUAGGCCACAUACUAUUCCAAACAUUAGCAUAAACUUGUUUUCCCCUUAUCAUUCUUGUGGAGCCAAGACACUGAUUAAUAGAAGCAGCUACAAUAGGUGCUAGAGUCAUAGUUCUAGCCAUCAUGUAUCCAGUAGAAGGAUGAACUACACCAGAAUUUGCACCAAAUGCAAUCACAUUUUGAGGUAUUCUUGGUAAAGGUCCUCCCAUUGGAAUCAAGCCCUUCUCAUCUUCCAAUACCCUUUUCACAUUAAUUCCCAAAUGCUUUAACCUUGCAACCAUUCUCGUUUUCACCUCCGUGUGAGACAAGGCCGGACGGCUAACAAGCGAAGUUUCUUCAAGAAAAAUCAAAUUUGAACUAAAUGGCAUAGCAUACAUAAAAGUAGAAGACUUGGCAUUACCAUCUCUACAAUGGGAAUCUCUCCAAUCCAUCAAAACUACUUUAUCCAAAUCAAAAGGGUGAGCAUCAACUUCAGCUAAAACUCCAUAAGCAAUUUGAAAACCAUAGUUUUUCACCUUAUGAUCAUCAUAUUCAAUAAAUUUACUUCCAAAACCACUAGCAUCAACUACUAAACUCCCUUUCAAAUCUACUCCAUCGUCACAAACAACAAUAGACUCAAACUCAUGAUGCUCAAUUUGCAUUGCCUUUGCCUUAUAAAAUCUAACACCGUUAAAAACACAACCUUUAACCAAGUUCUCUUUAAGUUUCCUUUUAUUAACCCUUCCGUAACAACGAUCCAAAUACUUGGUGGUUCUAUCAUCAAUAUAAAUAGAAGUUAUAGGCCAUGUUUUAUCUAAACAAUCUUCUAGCCCAAGACCUUCAAACUCAUCAAACCAAACACCAUAGUUAUUAGGCCAGAUAGACAGAGGGUUAGGAUCAACACAACAAACCUUCAUUCCAUAAAGGGAAACUUGUUCUGCAAGGCGAAUUCCUGCGGGGCCAGCACCGAUUAUGAUCACAUUGAAACAAGUGUGAUCAGAAGGGUGAAACAAUGGAAGGUCGAAAUCCAAGGCUUCGGGUUGAUACUCGGAUUUUAAGUCAAGAAAAUUUCCAAACUUUCUGGUGUUGUGGAUCCUUCCUUGAUGUUGUUUUCUUGAAGAUGGAAGUGAUGUUCUGUUGUGAUGGGUUUUGGGGAGAGGGAAUAUUGAAGGUGUUGUGAUUGGUGGAGAAAAUAACAUAACUGAAGUGUUCAUGUUUUGUAUUGUACAUAUGCAGGUUCGUUGACCUUAACAAUAGGAUGUGUAAUGUGUUAGUAACUUGCAGAUACAUAAAAAAGAAAAAUAUUAUAUGAACACGUCUAUAUUGCUAUUCCUUUUAUAACCCUCCAAUUCCUACUUAUUAAAGGUUAUUUCGGCUAGAAUUUGAACUCGAGUUCUAUCCAACGGUUCAUUUUUAACUAAAAUUCAUCAACUACUUUAAUAGAUAUAAAGUUCGUUAUAUUAUAUCAAUUAGUUACACUGAUUAGUUAGUUAGAUUAGUAUAACUAAAUGAUAUAAUUAACUUAUAUAACUACAUUUAUAUCAGAGUCUAUCAAUUCGAUCAUCCACCGUUUAUAUUCAUGUGUCAAGUCUAAUAAUGUUGAUUGUGAUGGAUGUAUUGAAAAAAAUCUAAAUUCCAUGUAGAAAAGAUAUAAGAUAAGGCCACUUGCUAAUUAAUCUAUAUGAUCAAUUAGUAAAUCAUAUAACUAAUUUUAUAUCUAAUGAACUUAAAUACAAUCACAUGGUUAAAUCAUCUGUUAAAUCUUCACUAUUAAAAAACUAAAACGUGUAUUAUAGUUCAAUUUGUUAAGUAAGUCACUCUUCUAAAAAUAGUAAUAAAUGAUUACCCACUUGCUUAGGUGCAAGUUCCAAAAAUGCAUCUACUGAUUUAUUUAGCAAAAAUCUACAAAGCACGAUACCGCAACAAGUGGAUGCGUUGAGAAACGUUGUUGCUACAAUUAGGAGUAGCUAGGAAGGAUUGCCAGCUUUUGUUGUUUUCUUGAGAUCCACGGUGAACAUGAACAAUUAGAUAUUUACUACUUACUAAUUAAAUUACAAGCUAACUAAUGUUUACAUGUAGGAUUCGAGCUUCAAAUUCUCCAACUUCACUUCAAAAACAUCAGUUUGGUAUGUUAGUCUAACUUAUAGAGGCUAGUUGACAAAAAAAAUUAACAUUACUUUCAUAUGAAAAAAAUAAAUUAUAUUAUAUUAAAGACUAAACUGUAUUUUUCGCCCCUUAAGUUUUAAAAUGUUGCGAUUUUGACCCCUAUUUAAAAAAUGGCAAAAGUGACCCCAUGUUUAGGGAAAUAUGAUCUUUUGACCCCCUAACAUAAGGGAAAUAUAAUCUUUUGACUCCUUAUCUUCUCAAAAAGUUGCGAUAUGGCCCCUUUUUUGAGACACGUGACAUCUUCUCAGCAAUUUUGGGACGAAAUGGACCAAAAUUGUCAUUUUUUUAAUAAGGGAUCAAAAUCGCAACAUUUUGAAACUUAGGAGGCGAAAAGUGCAGUUUAACCUAUAUUAAACUAAUAAGGUUUGACCCGGAAAAAUAUGAUUCAAUUUACAUCUAGGCAACCCCCUCAUACAAUACUUGAUAUUAGAUUUGUGUCUGAGACAACUUAUGAAAUCCUUACAUAAAAUUGGGAUAUCUAAUCUAAAGAUAUACAGAUAUACAAAUCAUCCAUAAGAAUAUUUAUUUAAUAUUUGUUCUUACAAUCAUUCAUUGGUUUAGUUAGUUGUUUUUUUGUCAUUUUGGUGGUAGUAGGAACCUAACAGAAUCACAUAAGAAUGUUUUUGGUACUAGGUGGAGCAAGUGAGUUCUUAACAACUCCUUGAUCAUAAACCUUAUCAUAAUUAAAUUCUACACAUAAUUUCAAAAACCUUAUAUAUAUACACAUCAGCAACAGUUUCAAUAUCACAUACAACAGAAAAGUUUUCUCAGUAUCAGUAUAUAUCCUUCAAGAGAGCAUUUAUAAAAUUUGAUUCAAAUGGAUUCAAGAAGAGAAGUUGAGGAAUCAUCAACAGCUCCCAUCCUAGAAUCCAAAAGGACAAGAAGCAAUGGAAAAGGGAAAUCCAUUGAUGGAGAUCAUUCUCCUCCACAUGCUGCAACUGUUGUUACCACAAAAGCUACUCCACUACAAAAAGGUGGAAUGAAAAAGGGAAUUGCAAUCUUAGACUUUAUUUUGAGGCUUGGUGCCAUUGGUGCUGCUCUUGGUGCUGCUGUCAUUAUGGGGACUAAUGAACAAAUACUUCCUUUCUUCACUCAGUUCCUUCAGUUUCAUGCUCAAUGGGAUGAUUUUCCAAUGUUUAAGUAAGUUCAUUUUACAUAACGGUGAUGUCCCACUUUCUUGUAUUUUUGGUCCUCCUAUCUUAACUGAAACACAAUUUUAGAUCUCUUAUUUCUAAAUUCAAAAUUUUAGUCCUCUUGUUUCAAAACUUUUUUCUCACAAUUUAAUUUGAGGUUUGCUUUUUGUGACGACAUGAAAUUAUAUUCGAUGACAUGACAUUGUUGAUUUGAAUUAGAAACAAUAAAAUUCUGAAAAAUAGGUUUACAUUCGAUGAAUGAGAUCAAAAGAAAAAAAAAAAAUAUCUUGUUAGAGGGUUCUUUCCAAAUAAACACUCUCAUAUCAUCAAAUGUAAUCCACGUCAUCAAUUAAAAUGAUAGCGUAAAAAAAAAAAAAAAAAAGUCUCAAAUAGGUUCUCGGAGAAAAAUCAUGACAUUUGCAAAACUAGGGACUAAAAUGCCAAAAUUUUGAAAUAGGGUGACUAAACUAUAUUUUUUAGGAAUAGGGUGACUAAAAUAUUGUUUAAGAUUAAAAUAGAGAAAUCAAAUGUGCAUAUAAUUGUUUUUUUUCCUCCCUUCAUAUAUAUCCCUGCAAUUAUACCUGGGAUCUUUACUAGUUAUAGAUUUAAAAUAUCAUCCUUUUUAUGGAUCUAAACAUGCAGGUUUUUUGUGGUGGCAAAUGGAGCAGCAGCUGGAUUUCUCAUCCUCUCCUUACCAUUCUCAAUUGUCUGCAUUGUUAGACCCCUUGCAGCCGGUCCGCGGUUUCUACUUGUCAUCGUUGAUUUAGUAAGCAAAAAUUCAAUAUGAGUAAUGAUAAUGCACAAAUCAACAAUCAUCGUUAUAUCUUAUUUCAAAUGAUCAUUCAACACUUAACUAGAAAAGAAAAAAAAUGUUGACUACUUAAUUGCAGGUAUUAAUGGCCUUAGUGGUUGCAGCUGCUUCAUCUGCUGCAGCUGUUGUGUACUUAGCACACAAUGGGAGUCAAGAUGCAAAUUGGAAUGCCAUUUGUCAGCAGUUCACUGAUUUUUGUCAGGGUUCAAGUUUGGCUGUGGUUGCUUCUUUCGUUGCGUCGGUUUUCCUAGCUUGUUUGGUUGUUGUGUCUUCUGUAGCUCUCAAAAGGACUUAAAAAUUGGAAUUGAAGGAUGAUGGUUGAUAGAAAGUUAAUUGCUCUUUUAAUGAGUGUUGUAAACUUGUUUUAGUUUGUGGUUUGUAAUUGAUGUUUAUAACAUUGAAGUGAAAAAUCAUGUUUAACGUUUGUUGUUGCAACAAAUUCUGUAUUGUAAAAAAUGCUUCUUUAUCUUCUUAUUUGGUUGAAUUAAUUUGCAGCAGAUUAAUUUGUGGUAAAAAAACAAGCUUAAGAGACAAAUCCAACACCAUCAAAAUAUUAAACAACAUAGUUAACAAAUUUAACUAGAUAAAACAAUAGAUAAGUAAAUUCUGUAUAGUAGCAAUGUUACCAUUGUAAAUCCAAUAACAUUAAAAAGGUUUUAAAAUAAAACAAAUCACAAAAUUAAUCCAACCAAAUAAACCCGAAAAUAUAAAAUAAGUAAAAAAAAAAAAAUCACCACAUAAUUUCUCUAGGAAAUCAAUCAAUAAAGUAAAUCAAUCCCAAAAAUAUUAGUUUGAACCGAUUGAAUCAUACCCGUUUUGCAAUCCCCUAAUUGGAGGCUAUGAAUCCCGAAAAACGGAGACGUACCCAUAUCGGAUAUGUAUCGGAUACCGAUACUCCACAGAUACUUGUGAAUACGUACUCACGAAGUAUCGGAAUUAAUUAUUUUAAUUUAAAAAAAUAUUUUAUCUGAUACUUAUAGGAUAAUCCACAGAUACACAAAGAUACUUAUAAGAUACUUCACAGAUAUGUAAACUAGAGAUGAUGACGGGUAAGAAAGUGAGACAAUGUUGUAAAAAUUCAGUUGAAAUGUAUAUGAUUCAAUUUUAGAUAUGCAUAAGUAAAAUUGUUUCUCGAUGAACCACUUAAAAUUAUGAUUCUUGUGGAUGAAGGUAAUGAGAGAGAUGUGAUUCAAUUAAUCAACAAUAGAUAAAAUUUGUGUUGAAUGCUUCUCUCGAUAUCCUAACAAACGAAAAUAAAAUAUGGUUUAUAAGAAAACUUUACAUACAUGUAAUAAUGAAAGGUAAUAAGUGCUUAUUUUCUUCAAGUGUUUUACAUAUAUAUAUUUUAGUAUAAAAAUUUUGUUAACGUAUUUUAGCCGUAUCGUAUCCUAAAUUUUUGAAAAAUUGUGUCUCCGCGUACCCGUAUCAUAUCGUACCUGCAUCCGUAUCUGUAUCUGGACUUCAAAGAUAGGAGGCAAUACAUAGAUACCACAUUCACAAAAAAAAAAAAAAAAAAAAAAAAAAAAAAAAAAAAAUUAGGAAACAUGAAUCAAGCAAGUGAAUAAUUAGUGGUUUUUCUUUAAUGUAAAAAUAAAUUGUGUUUCCUUAUUAUCAAUUGAUAGCAUAAUCCGUGGGUUUUCUUUAAUUCGAAAAUAAAUUGUGUUUCCUUAUUGUAAAUCCUCAUUCCUUUUUAAAAUUUAUUUUUUUCAAGAUAGCAUAAUCAGUCUUCUUAGCUCGGUCCUAAUAAAUUUUGGAUAGUUUAUAGAGUCUUGCACGAUAACAAUAUUUUCAUUCUAGCGUUUGGUGUCCGACAAGGUUUUUCUCAAGUUUUUCAAGGUAGGUAAUCUCUCAUCAUGAAACUUCUAGUUGUCUGCACAUGAUUGAAGUAUUAUAUGAUUAUUUUCUAUAUUUUUAAUUCAAUUUUUAGUAUUUAUAGUAAAGAAAAAUAAGAUCUUUCAUUCUAAAUCCAUCGGUUCAAACACACUUUUAUGGUUUGUUUCACAUCAGAAAAAUAUGUCUCAGAUAUAUAUGUUGUUGAGCUUCGUGUUGUUUAGGGUUUUUUAUGUAGCGUUUAUGUCAGAUCUUAUUGAUUUUUUUUUAGGAUGAUCUUAUUGAUUUUUAUUUGUUUGUGUCAGUGUUGUCCUAUGAAAUUCACAACAAUCAUUUUCCCUGCAUUUUUCUCAUGUUUUUUAUUUCCCUGAUUUUGUUAAUUUCUAUUUCGAUUUCCUUCUGAAAUUCAGGUAUUUACUGUUUUUUAUUUUCUUUUAUUUCCCAUUAAACUAGAUUGAUUGAUUCUGCAAGGGUGCUAGAGAUUUGAUUGAUUCUGCAAGGGUGCUAGAGAUGAAUGCGGCACCCAAUAACAAAAAUUCAUUAAUUAGUUUCUUAUCUUUUUGCAAAUGUGUUUUUUUAAUCAAGGAAAUAAAUUACUUUUUUGAAAUUAAGGAAAUUAGUUUUUUUAAUUAGUUUUUUAUCUCUCUAAAUAUCUAGAAUUUUGUUUUUAAUUCAUAUAAAAGAAUUGUACUUUUAAGUUCUAUAAAAUGAUUUUGCUCAACCAAAAAAAAAAGUUCUAUAAAAAAUUUCAUCGAUAUUUUCCAUUUUUGUGGCGAAAAAUGUUAAGAAAUUAAAAAGUGUGAUUUUUUUGUGACGAAAACGAAAUUUUGGAUAUUUUUAAAGACAUUUACUAAAUAAACCUUUUUUAUUAGGAAUGUUUUUUUAAUAAGUUGCUCGUUGCUCUCUUAUUUUGUAUAUAAGUUGAGAUGUUCCUCAGCUAGUGAACUCUAGUUUAGUUUUUUUUUAAUUGUUUAAACGUUGCAAAUAUUUUUUUAUUUUCCUAUUUUGGCCAAACCAAUUUGAGACCGAAAUUGCGCAAUAAAAAAUGAAUGACUAAAAUUGUGGUUUGACAAAAAAAAAAAGGGACUAAUACUGUAUUUAAGGUUUUUUUGUUUUUUUUACAAGAUAUUGCAUUUAAGCCUAAAUAUUAAAAACUAACGGAAAUGUUAUAUACAACAAAGAGAACAUUGCAAAUGCAUAGCGAAUUGAUUUUUCCUGUUUAUCAAACUUUGACUAACCAUGAUAUGUUGCUGAAUAUAGCAUUGCUCUGCAACUAAUUAACAUCAGUUAUUUUCUCAAUAUUUAUCGUACAUAUUUUUUAAGAAUGUUUUGUAUUCCUUUUCUUUUUUAAUACCAUAAUUAUUCGUUCUCAUUGAACAAGAACUGAAUAGUACACAAAAAAGCAUAAACUUACUAACUCAAAAUUAACACAUGCAGGUGCAAUUUAAGUUGUUUCCAUACCACACCCAACAUCGCUAUCCAAUAUGAAAAUAACUCACGAUGAGGUACAAAUUUAUUUUUUUAUAGAUGCUUUGAAUUUCUUUCUAUUAAUUAUUUUUGUAUAUGCUAUGUAAUCUUUUAUUUUGAUAACAUUCAUAUGUGAAACAAUGGUCUUGAAAGUAUUUUAAGAUGAUUUCUAGUUGUAUAAUUGUGUGUGGGGGUUGUACUUGUAUCAAAUCUACCAAGGGAAAAAAAAAUCCUUAUGUUAAACUAGUUAAUGCAGUGAAAAGGACGGAAUUGGGAAAAACAUGCGAUUCCUCGGAUACGUGUUCUUCAAUAUGAAAUUGUUUUUCAUUAAUUUAAUAAUGUAAUGACAAAUCUACCCUUCCACUUACAACAUGUUUGAGAAGUUAUAAAUAUGUUUUUUGAUAAAUAACUAGUGGGCGUAGUUUGCUAACUUGCACCUUAGUGUUUUUAAGUGGAUGCAAGUUAGCAGCCCCAUCUUUAUAUAUAUAUAUAUGCAAAACAAUAGUCAAUCCUUAAUUAUGUCAUUCUUUGAUUUUUAGGGUUCUACCAUUCUUGUGCAGGGACAACAAACCGGUCUUGGGCUAGCAUAUGAUGCACCUUUUGGGGUAACUCCUUGUUAACUUAAUACUAAUGUUAAUAACCUAUUUGAGUUCGAAUUGGUGAAAAAAAUAAUCAUUUUCUUAUGUUAAAUAGUAUUAUUAAAAAUACUAUUUAACAUAAGAAAAAUCCAUCAUCCGGUAACCACAGGAUGAUCCACAAGAAAGGUGGCAGGAUUCGAACCUAUGGCCGGCCCGCCCCUGACCUGCUGGGUUGGGUGGCCGGGUUAGCACCCCUCGUCGCCCCUGAACCCGAAACAGAUGCGCUGCGCUACCCAGCGCGUAACCUUGUCUCCCCUACUCCUCUUCUGGUUAUGCCAUUACCAAUCGCGGGUAACCCCCGGGCCGGCCGCCCCUGACCUAAUAAGUGAUCAUUUGUAUUUCCUUGAUCUUAGAGUAUUACAUAGAUACCAGAGAUUUGAAGUUUAUCCAAGACCUUCCAAAGUUAUCACUCGAUAUAUAUUUUUAUCCCUCUUUGGUGGGGUUUCUGGUCCUAUGAAGUGAAAAAAAAAAAAAAAAAAAAAAAAACUCCUUCUAAAGUGGGAGGGGAAGACUACUCUCUCUUCCUAUUCCCUUUCCUCCUCAAAGCCCGGUCUUUAUUUCCCCUCCUAACUCUCAAACAAACCCUAAUUGUCAAAAUUAUCUUCAAUAUUGAACGAAAUGCAUGCCUAUAUUACUCGUUGAAAUACAAUAUUUUUUAAAGUGGAAGCAAUAAGGAUCAGAGUGUUGGUCAUUUAACUAAAGCGCCUUGGAUAUUUGUGUUGGUUCACGAGAAUAUCCUUGUAGAUCGCACACAAUAGGCAAAAGCAAUCACACAAGUGAGAAACACCACAUUUUUGCCCAAAAUCUUAAGGUAAUGGGUUCAUCCGGUCACUUAUAAAGUGUCCAACCUCUGUUAUUUUAAUUAAUAUGUGACUUUUAACUCACACUUGCUACUACACCAUGGCAAAGAGCCAAUCAAACCAAGUACAUACACAAAUAACUUUGCUUACAUAACUUGAAUCCAUAUAGAUGAUUUAUUCUUUUACGGUGUUGACUUUGUUGACAUUGCAGGAGAUGGAACAAUCUGCAUUCCUCCUGGUGACCUUUCCACACACAGGCAGUCGUCAUGGUCAGUUCUGUUUGCAUCAUGUAAGGAAAUGACAGUAGAGUUUAGAGGAUUACUUAUCGCGAUCUCUUCCUGCUGGAUGAUUUCCUUGAUUUUUGAUAUAGGUAAACCAUAUGAUUGGCAUGGAAAGAAAGUAACAAUGCCAUUUGGAGGGAGAACAACCCUGAUGUUUAUGACCACUGCUUCUUGGGUGCUUAUUUUUGGAGCUUCAUGUUUUUUAUCCAUAUGUGCUGCCUUGCAUUUAAAAAUAAUAAUGGUUGUUUUGACAAUGGGGUCUGUUUAUUGCCUAUUCAGAUUGCUGGGCAAAAUCACCUCUUACCAAAUCGUGUUUGGUUCUUCCAAUUACGAAAUCAAUGGUAUUUGGUUGUUUUUUGGUUGCUUCAUUGUAAAUUGUUACUUUUUGUCUAUUUUGUUUGUAGUGUUUUAUAGGCGAUUGAGUUGACCUGUUUGCAUAGGCAAACCAGGAGACCCAAAGAAUAGUAAAAAUAAAUGAAGAAAAUGAUCCAAUUAUCAGGAUUACUUGUUUUGUAGAAUUAUCCUUUGAAUUUGUCUUUCAUUUGAUUGACUUAGCUUCAAAAAACAAUGUUAUCUUAUUGUUUUAUCCCAUACGAACAAAUUCUUCAAUGUUGAUAUGAUUUUAAGUUAAUAUUCUAUAUACGAGUAAUGCUAGCAAAACUCCUUUUUUAAGACUCUCUCUAAUACUCACUCUUUUAUUGGUUUAAAUCAUUGUGAGUUUACAUUUUGAAAAUUGAAUCCAUAAAAAGUGGUGAGACAUACUUUGAUUUCAUCCAAUAAGAGAUUGAGUGUCAGAGAGAGUGUUGAAAAGUGAGUGUUACUAUCAUUCCUCCUCUACGUAUAGGCUAAAAACUAGCAAUUUCCUCUCUUUCACUAAUGAGGAUCUCUCAACCCGCAUAGUUCAUACUCCUUCCUAUCACAUUUAUGAGCAAAAAAUAAUUUUUUAAGUACAUCCAAUAAUUAAUGUAUAUAACCCAUAAAUGUGACCAGAGGGAGUAUGUCUUAAUAAAAAGUCGCCCAAAUCCGACCAUUUAAAUUUUAUGAUUAUAACAAAUUUAUUUUUAAAUUUAUUUUUGUUACAAAUUGAUCUUUCAAGUUAUAAAUAUAUACACCAUUAUCUUAUUCAGUCUUGAUUUGAAACAAAAUUGAUCGACUAAUUGAUUUAUAAUAUUUUUUUGGAGAGAACUUGAUUUAUUAUAUUCUUGAUGAAAUAUUUACCUGUAAAUUUAGGCUUGAAUUCAAAAACAAAAAAGAAGAAAAUGUGUAAGUAAUUAGGUUUGAUGUCAUAAACACUUUUAGAUCUCUCACCUCAAUGUUAAAUUAUCCAUGAACACUUUUUAACGAAGUUGAUUGAAACAUGGAGACAAUAUAAAUAUUUUAUGACUUAAAAGGACUAGACCAGUUUGUAACAAAAAAAAAAAAAAACUUAAAAGGACCAAUUGGUAACAAUUAAAAAACUUAAAAGACUAAUUUGUUGUAAUAAACAUCUAACUUAGAGAUCGCGAAAUGUAUUUGAUCAAAAAAGUCUAAAAAAUAUUCAUUUUUUUAGGGAUUAAAAAAAGUUUCAUUUAUCUAACAAUUAAUGUUUUUAUUUUCUAAUUAGACAAUUCCAAACAUUGGAUUAGAUAAUAUGAUAUUUCAUUCGACUUAAUCCGAAGGAGCACAUCGGUUUGUUACUUACUUCUUUCAAUGUGGCAAUGCUUGGUAAACAGGGUUGAAAAUUUCUAAAGGAUCACUUUAGUCUUGUAACUCGGUUGUUUAAAGCUCGUUAUUUUUCUAACAUUGAUUUUAUAGGUCAAAGAUUGGAAAUAAUCCGAGCUAUGUGUGGUAACGAUGGUUGUAAUAAAAGGAGCAAGAUGGCGAAUAGGAACCGGUGAGAAGAUCCCGUUAUUUGGUGCACCGUGGUUAAAAGACGGGCUAUUUUUGACAGCUGACAAUCCUAUUUAUGCGCCCCUAGCUCACGUAAAGGUGAAGGACAUUAUUGAUCAAUCCUCUAAGGAACGAAUACUCCCUUAAUUUAUAAUAUGUUUGAUAUAAGUACGACCCAGCUGAUAUUGAAUACACAGCUACAAACUUUAGAAGAUAAGUUGAUUUGGAAAGGUGAAACAAAUGGUAAUUAUUUGGCGUGUAGCAUUUAUAGAAUGUGUGUUAGUAAAAUUGUUGAUGAUUCCCAUAUAUAUAUUCUAGGUCAUUGGAAAUUGGUUUGUAAACUCAAAGUUCCACCAAAAAGAACAAAAACAAAAAACUCACUUGGCAUGUGUAUCUUGGGUGUUUUUCAACUUGAGCUCUCCUGGGUAGUAGAGAGGUGCAUUGUCCAACAUAUUGUGUCAUAUGUCGUAGUAAUUAUGAGGAUAGUAUUCAUGUGUUUUUGGAAUGUCCUAAUGUUGUGCAGGUUUGGCGUGAUGUAAAUUUGUGGGAAAGUAUUGAUAGAGUACUUCACCAAAAUUAUAAUAUGGAUGCGGUCAUUUUUCUCUCUUGCAACAACUUACUGCUAGCCAAAGUGAACUUUUUGCUAGUGUUUUAUGGAGUUUUUGAAAGAGAAUGAAUUUGAAGCUUUGGCAACAAAAGAAUGAAACGAAUAUGCAGGUGGUUGAACGAGCAACACAUUUUCUUAAAGAUUUAAAAUCGGCUCAAAUUAUCUGGGGAAGUCGUGAUGUGCAGACAAAUACAAGUUAGCUGGAUUCAAAUCGACAUGUUAUGAUACGGUGGGAAAAGCCAGUAACCGGGCGUUGCAAAUGCAACAUUGAUGCCUCGUUCUCUUCAUCUAUGAACAAAGUAGGAAUUGAGAUAUUCGUGAUGAUGCUUCGCAAAACAGUUUGGUUUUCCCCUCUUUGUGAUGUUGAUAUAGGGGAAGCAAUGGGUUUGCAUACGGCUCUGGAAUUGACAUAAGAACUAUGAAGGCUACCCCACAAAAAAAAGUUCUAUUUUCGGGAAAAAUUAGCGAUAAGGAUGUGUUUAUAUUUACUGAUGCUGAUUGAAUGGGAUCUAUUACAAAUAGAAAGUAAUUUAAGCUUGUUUCAUGGUAACAUGAUUUAACAAUAAUUUUCCGGUGCUUCACAAGAAACAAGAUGAGGAAAAAAAAUUAAGACACAACAUAUACAUUAAUUCGGUUUGUAACUCAAAAAUUGGAUACUCAAUGAUACUUCCCAAGAAGCCCGCCAAACCAAGAAUAAAUUUGUUGGCAAAAAAUUUAUUGUGAUUUAAACUUGCUGGUCUACAAUAAUUACGCGGUUUGAAAUAUGAUUUUAUUUCUUUUGUUACUUUGCACGAGACUUCUUUUCUCUUCACCAUAGUUUUAUUCCAUAAGAUUUUUCUGAUAAGAUUUUUAGUUAGACAUUUUUUGUGUAAUCUUGGAUUUUGGUCUAGUGCUCCCCAAGUGUUUGUUUCUUCACUUUUUUUAUUUUAAUCAAUUUGUCAGGGUGCUACAGAUGUUAUUUGAUAGUUUUUGGGUGCCAAUAUAGUUGGAAUGUCAAUGUGCUUUGCGAUGCUUUUGCACUAUAAUUUGUGUUUUAAAAAAAUUGAAAUAUGAUGUUACAUAUAUCAAGUUGUCUUAAAUUUCAUGAUUAUUGUCCCCGAGCUUAGCUCAGUUGAUAGGGACAAUGCAUAAAAUAUGCAAGGUCCGGGGUUCAAAUUCCGGCCACCACCAAAAAACUUCAUGAUUAUUAAUAGGAAAGAGGAAGUUGGAUUAGAGAGGUUGCAAAAGUUUAGACGUGCGAAGCUAAAAUGAGUGAUUUGAGAUCCAAAGGCAACAGCAUAGAAUGAGAGGUUAGACAAGAGAACGUGAAAGCUGGAACGAAAGGCUGGAGAUGAGAGGUAUAGGCUUCACAAAUAAGGCAAAACGGGAAUAGGUUUUCAUAAUCUUAUCGGAUUGUAACCCAGUAAACUUAAACGAUAGAAAUAACAAAGGGUGAGCAGAUAUGAUCAGUAAUAUUAUUAUCAAUUUUAUCAUAUAGUAUUGGAGCAUCAAACAAUAGGAUAUUAAAACUUUUAAAUAUACGAUUAAAAGGAUGUUGUAUAAAACUACUCACGUCUUUGUUCUGUACAAAACAAUAACCAUGUCCGUGUCAAUUUGAUCUCUAAGAAACAACCACGAAGUUGCAAUUUCCCCGCUAAAAUUACACUAAAACACGGGUGGCAAUAGAAUCGUACCAUGGAGUCAUUUGACUUACAGACAAUAUUUUAAUAGAAUUAGAAAGAAUUAAUAAAAUUUAAGACCAGAUGAAAAAUGCCCAAGCUAAGCAAUAUUAGAAAAUAUGAGGGUGUUAAGCCAGAAUUAGCAAAUAUAAUAAUGUACAGUAUUAUUAUUAUUAUUUAUUGUAAGAAAAUUAUUUCCUUGAAUCAAUUUGCUAGCUUUGGUUUAUUAUUUCACUCUGCGUGAUUGCAAAAAUAGUCUUAAAACCAACACUAUAGUGGCAAACGGGUAAUAAUUUCGCAGAAUAUCACUCAUUCGUUGAUACCACAAAACCCACAUAGCUUCAUAAAAAAAUGAGACAUCUUUCAAGGAGAAGACCAUUUAGACAUCCCACUAAGUGGUUGAAGACAAUUUAAACCCACAAAAAUAAAAUUGAGUAAGUCAUGAAAUUGAUUAGGGUGAGGUUUAGUAUGGGAAAUGGUACUUUUUUCCCACCAUGGGAAAGCCUUUUUUUAACCCUUAGAUUGAGUAGUACCACCAUUGUUAUUAUAGUCUAUCCACACUAUAUUUUUCACAUCAUCUCCAACCUUAACAACUCAUUUUAUUAUCUUCACCUGUGAAAAUUACAUCUCUCAAUUUAUUUUUGCCUACAAAAAUAUUCUUGAAACAAAAUAGAGAGAAAUGGAGAGAAAACAAUCUAAUUUGAAACCCAACUAUUCAUCUUCAUUCGUUCAUACAUUUAUGUGUUCUUCAAACAAAUCAUUCAUCUUCACCAAUUUUUUCUUCCUAAAAUUUUAGAUCUGGAACAUCACAACAACAAGAACAGACAAGAGAAAUAAAAUUGUAUAGGAUAAUUAUUUUGUGAGUUUGUUUCAAUAGCCGGAACAGAACAAACACAGUUGUUGGGGGUUUGUGUUGUGUGGUUCCUAUAGUACGAGCUAGGAACAAAAAAGAAGCACUGUCACAAAUUCAUUCAUUGUACUUUCUAAAAUUUGCAUUGGCCAGGACAAGAUUUUGGAUAAUUAAUUUGAUUUUGGUCCUCAAAGAAAAUAAAUUGGAGAGUUCGGAUUUACUUUGAUAAGCUUUUACUGAGUAACAAUUAUGUUAAAUCAUUUAAUUAUAGUAUUUAUGUUUAUACUGAGAUUUUGUUUUAAACAUGUAAAAUAAGAUUGUAACUUGAUAAUCAUAACUAGCAAAACUGAACAAAACUAAUUCCCUAAUUUAGCCGAUGAUUAAAGAAGAAGAAGAAAAGGAACAAGAUAAGAGUACAAGAAAUUUCCAGUGAAAGGUGUUCUAAUGGAAAGAUAUGGAAGAUGAAAAUAGUGGGUGAGAGAGAGUGGUUGGAGAAGAUAGUAAAAUAAAAAUCUAGUGAUAAGAGACUAUGAUAAAAUUGUGUUCCUUAUUUAAUCUAAUGGUCAAGAAAAUCUUUCCCAUGAUGGGAAAGAACUCCCCUUUUCUAGGCUAAAUGCAACCAUUGAUUAGUAGUCAAUCUAAUAAGAAGUAUAAUUUGUUACCAUACAUCAAGGCUGAGAUAGCACAACAGCAAAUACUAUGACUCUAGGUCAUCAACCUAACAAAAUCAUACAAUUCAUAAUGUUUGUGACAACAAUAAAAUGUAUAUCAUACAAUGAAAACAGCUCUGCCUUUGCUGCCUAGCCUGCAACUGGUGUCAAAUGGCAACUAGCGAGGCAAGUACCUACGAAAGCACCACAACACGGCAAAAAACCAAAACUAAAAAAAUGGUGCACAAAACAACCCAAAAACCAUUAACUUCAUGAUUGGCAGUGCCAAUCACAACUCGGUAAGUGGUUGUUUUGUACACCCACACAUAUAAACCCCAGCACAAUCCCACAGUGUAGAUAGCAGCCAAAAUGAAUCUUUCACGCAAGGGCCAAACAGAUGCAACUACCACAUAGUAGGAAAAUAAGAAUCCAAACAACCAGGAAAUUGAGGGGAUAAUAGAGGAAAGAGCUUUCCCCGAUGGAAGAAUUUUGUCCUUGCCAUAAUGCACGGAUUUACCUAUAGAACUUAUGAAAUAGACCAUAAGACAACCCACGAAAAGGAGUGUAAUGAGUCUGGCAGUGGGAGGCAUUUGCUCGGGUCCAAACCGAGCAAACGACAAAUCAGGCACAAGAGAUGAACCCUACAAAAUUUUACCAAAAAAUAAUGUAACAAAAUCAUAUAUUAAAAGUAUGCUCCCACUGUAAUGUAUUAUAAGCAGCCUCAAGAGAGGUUUCAAGAGUUGCAGGCCCAAGAGAAAACAAAGCAUGGCAUGUGUCAAAUAUGUAAUGUAAUGUAAAGAUAUAACUCGAUGACAAUUAAGACAAAAACAAGAUAACAGAAAACAUAUCAUAUGAACUGAAAAUGAGUGUGGCAGGCAGUGCCAGAAUAAAAAAUUACAUUAUUUCAUUGUUGUGUAUAUCUCACUUUCGCUCUUUCUAAUAGUUUGAUAUUUUCCAACAUUUCAUGUAAUUAACAAGAUCUGAUUUAUGUACACAAGAAAAAUAGACACAUUACUUGGAAUUUCACAAAACGUAACACUCAACAUCAUCUGUUUCAUUCACAAAAGAAGACAUGGUCAACCCCCACAAGUUUUGAAAUUUCAGGUUUUCAUUAUUAGAACCAUGCGCUUCUAAGAUACAAAAUUAUUUAUAAUUUUAAAUGCAUGUUCUUGAUCUUUCACCCAAUUUAGCAUACUCUAGCUUCUACCUAAAAACAUAUAUGCAGAAUAGAAGCUUUGCAUUCCCUUUCAUAAAAGAACCGACAAGGUUGUUAUUGUUGAGACAAGGAUCUGAACCCCAAAUAAAAUCAGUCAUCUUUUUUUCCUGUUGUCCCCCCAUCCCACCCCAUUAGUAUUUAUGAAGUAUUGACAUGUUAAAAAAGAUUCUUCGAAUCGCUUAUCUAUAGAUUGCUUACAACACAGGAACUAAAUACAGAGAUGACAUAUCCAGACUGAAAUAUCUGAGAGAGGAACCUGGGAAACUGGAACAACAGAAAGGCCACGAGGAAUGCCAGAUUGUUCGCUCUCCUGCAAAGCACAAGUCAACAGUGUAAAGAAUAUAAUUAGUUGGAGAUAGAGGGAUAAAAAUAUAUAGAAGGAUUCAAGUUAUGUCAGCAAAUAUACCAUGGUAUCCAAGACACUUUAGUUAAAUGGCCAACACUCAGAUCCUUAUUGCUUCCAUUCAGAAAAUAUAUUGUAUUUCAACUAGUAAUAGCAAUAUGUAUUUUGUUCGAUAUUGAAGAUAAUUUUGACAGAAAAAUAUAAACCAUUUAGCUUUGUUUGGGAGUUAGGAGGGGAAGGGAAGUGAGGGGGGUCUUUGAGGAGGAAAGGGAAGGGGGAGAAAGAGUAGUUUCCCCCUCCCACUUUGCAUGGAGGUUUUUUUUUCCUCUUCAUAGGACCAAAAACCCCCACCAAAUAUGGAGGAAUAAAAAUAUAUAUCAAGUGAUAACUUUGGAGGGUUUCAGAUACCCUCAGAUCAAAGAAAAUAUUACUCAUAGGUACUCUCAUUCUCCAAGAGCGCUUUGUUAUAUAUUUUGUAGCAACAUAAAUGGCCAAAUUUUUCCUAUAACAAAGUGGGUUUUUACUUACAAAUGUUAUUUAAAUGUCAUUAUUUACAACAUAGAAAGUGAAAAUUUUAGUACCACCAAUUUGAACUCAAAUAAGUUAUUAACAUCAAUAUUUAGUUAAAAAUGUUAUAUAUGAGGAGGUACCCCAAAAGGUGUUUCAUGUGCUAGCCCAAGAUGAUGCACAAGAGUAGUAGAACCUUGGAAAUCAAAGAACGACAAUUAUUAAACAACCAUAUGUUGAACAUAUAUAUUUGCAUGUUAAAGGAUUGACCAUUGUUUCAGCAUCAUCAGUUUACGGAUGAUUCACAAAAGACCAAGUCAGCCCACAGGUUUUGAAAUUUCAGAUUUUUAUUAUUACAAUUACACGCUUCUAAGAUACAAAAACAUUUUCUUCUUUCCCUCUUUCCUUAGACAUUUCCUUUUGAUUUAUUUCCAACUUUAAAUUUUAAUCUUAAAUGCAUGUUCUUAAUCUUUCAUCCAAUUUAGUAUAAUCUAGCUUCUACCUAAAACCAGAUAUGCAGCAUAGAACCAAAAAAAUCAGUCAUUUUUUCUGUGCUUCUAAGAUACAAGAUCACAUUCAUCUUUUCCUAUUUCCUUUUGAUUUAUUUAUAAUUUUAAAUGCAUGUAUGUUUGGUUUUAACCUCUCAACCAAUUUAGCAUAAUCUAGCUUCUACCUAAAAACAGAUAUGCAACAUUGAACCAAAUAAAAUCAGUCAUUCUUCGUGCUUCUUGGAUACAAGAUCACUUUUUUUUUUGACAAAUCCCAUCAUGUUGCACUUGGUUACAUUGAAUUUUGAUAUCAUGGUCACAUUGUCUCUAUUUUUUUAAGACUUAAAUAUGUAUUUCAUCCUUUGCAAUUAGGGGUCGUUUAAAAAUUGGUCCAUGUAAUCGCUAAUCUUAGCAUUUUACCCUUGCAUUGUUUAAUCAUUUAAAAUUUCGUCCAUCUCCCCACUUAAUCACUGCCAUGUCACUAAUUUGAUGACGUGACAAUAACUGUCAUACAUGAAACUCCAAUUUUACCCCUGAGUUUUCAAUUCUUUCUUCAAUAUUUUGUCCUCUUCUUAAGGGCAAAAUUGGAAUUUCAUGCGUGGUAGUGAUUGCCACGUCAUCGAAUUAGUGACGUGGCAGUGAUUAAGUUGGUCAAAGGACGAAAUUUUAAAUUAUUAAUGAUUGCAAGGCUAGUUUGCAAGGAUUAGCGAAUAUAGGGACCAAUUUUUAAACGACCCUUAAUUGCAAGGAUGAAAUACAUAUUUAAGUCUUUUUUUAAUAACCCAAUGUCGCUCAAAUAUUUUCUUAUCCCUAUCACCCCGAAAAAUUUAUAUUAAACCCCUAAUUAUUUUCUUUUAUGAAAUAUGUUUUCGUAAACUUAACUCAGUUAGUACAUAAUACACGAUUUUAGUAAAAGAUAAUACAUGAUUUAAUUUUUUUAUAAUAUAGUGUCUUUUAAAUAAGGAUAAAAGUAGAAUUAGAAAAUUAAAAUGGUCUUGUUAACGAGUGUCCUCGGGACACUCUUUAAGCAUUCUAAAUUAGGAAAGAUUUUUUUUUUGGUUUUCGCACCGAUUUUCGACCCAUCAAAGGUGGACGACUCCGGCUCAUGCGUAGAGGCAUGCGCACUGGCAUUGAGAAAAUUAUUUUUAAAAAAAGUGAAAUUGUUUAAUUUCCAAUGCAUUAAAUACACAUGUUUUUAUAAAAAGUUACUCCUAUUUAAGACCCUUAACAAGUGUCCCGGAGGUACUUGUUAAUAUUUUCCAAAUUAAAAUAGGUUCAAAUUCUAUCGACAUUCCAAAUUGCGUUCCGUUCUGCUCCAUUCCGUUAUGUUUCAUUCCGCUUCAUUAGGUUCAAUUUCAUCGAUCCAGAGCCUAAAAUGAAAAUAUUGCUAUUGUCACCUUCAUUAUAUAAGUUUAAAUCUAAACUAAAACUUAUAAGUUUUUUUUUUUGAGGGAAAAACUUAAAAGUUUGUGCAUGAAUUUUAGAGGUGUUCAUUGUUUCAUCUAUAAAUAAGAAAACAAAUCAACAAUAUUAAUUAGAAUUAUGUUUUACGAGAUGAAUAUAAUAAUCUGAAAGAGCACUUAUAUAUCUAUAAACUCAUUUCCCUUUGUCAAAUGAUACUUUUAGUUUAUUUAUUUAUAAAAAAAUGAUGUUUAUAAUUAAGGCCAGAUAAAUAUUUGUUAAGGUGUUCCGUGAGCAUAGCUCAGUUGGUAGGACAAUGCAUUAUUAUAUGCAUGGGCUGGAGUUCGAACCCCAAACACCAUAAUUAUUCAUCUUAUAAAGUUUAUAAGAUGAAUUCUAACCGCUAUACUAUCUUCAGGCCCGGUCUUGAGGGUGUGCAAGGUGCUCAACCAGGCCGGACCUCCAAAUGCUACGGGCCUCUAACGAAAAAUUAAAUCUAAUACCCACCCCCCACUUAAAUAAAAAAUAUAUAUGUUAUAUCAUUUUCUUUCUUAGUACACAUUUGAGUUUCUUUUAGACUCUAAUUCUCCUUUUUGUACAUAAAUUGGAUCCUUUCAAACCACCCCUAAUUUGUAUAAUCACUUAAUGGAAAGCUAUUUCAUUGAAAGAAUCACAACAAUCAUUUUUUUCUUCGCAUAAACCAUUCAUUUUACCCUUUUCCACAACAGAGGAGUGACAAAUCCAAACGACACCGGUAGAUAAAUUUCACCUCUUUCACUUAAUUUUUUUUUAAUUCCUUUCAUGUUUAGAAGUUCUUCUGAUUCUGAUUUUUUUUAAUGAAAUUUAACCACACAAAAAAAUUACGUUUUAUUUUACUAGAAGACUAUUUUAAAAAGAGAGCCAAACCUCCUAUGUCACAGGGACGGCCGUGGCUAUCUUACAAAAAAGAAAAAAAAUCCUUGUUACCACCACCUUAGAGCAAUGAUCUGAGUCACUAAACCACCGUUCAUCUAUCAUCACAAACCAUUUAUUGACUAAGAUAGCACGUGCCAUCAACUGUAUAAACUAACCACGUGUCAUAACCUAACCUCUAUCUCACGUGCCACUCUCUUUUCCUUCCACCGUUAAAAACGCUAUCGCAUUCUUCUUCCCAUUUCUUUUUCUCAGUUUUCUUUUUCUUUCCCCUUUUUCUCCGACACAAAACCCUAAUAUUUUCCCCAAUUUCUCUAAUCUUUCAUCAAUUUUUUCGAUUCUCACAGGUUUAACUUCAUCUCUCAUUUCUCUCCCUGUUAAAUAUUCACGAUUCGAUUUUCCGCGUGCGAUUCUUGUUACGAAUUGAAAAAAAAAAUGAUUUUUUUGAUGAAGUUUUUUUGGGAGGUGGUUGCAGGUUGCGGUUGCGGAGGAGGAAGCUGAAUCAACGGUGGUGAAAAAUCUCGGUAAAUUCGACAUCUCAAAGAAGGUUUUGUUGUUUAAAGUAGUUGAAGGAUUUGGGUCUGAUGAGAAUUAUUAGGGGAAUGCAGAGAACGUUUUGUUGCGAGGAUCUGAAGAAAUCGUUCAGCAAAGGCAUUGGAAUCACUGCUCCCAAGGCAAGAACACGCGAUAAACUCUUUUGGAUUAGGGUUUUGGGUCACUAAGAAGCAUGACUCGUAUCUAUGUUCAACGUGGUUCUUCUGCUGCUAGUGGUAGUUCUCAGAACACUAAUUCUAACCCUAACCCUAAUCGUGCUGGGUCUUCUUCGGUUCGGCCGGAGCAGGUUACACAGGUACAAUCUGUUACCAAGGAUGAGGAAAGUGGAGAGGAGGAGCCUGGAUUGGUUGUUGCUGAUGAUGUUUUGGAGUAUGCUGGGAGUAGUAAUAGGGCAAAGGGUGAUGACCCUUUAAUGGAAAGUCUUCAUUUUGAGGAGAAUGAUACUCAUACUCCUUUAGGAAAUGAAGUUUUGGUUGAUCUUCCUGGGAAAGAUGUUAAAGAAGAGGUUGAGGGGUUGCAAGAAUCGAGGGAAAGACCAGUGAUAGAGAAGGAGGGAUUGUGUGAGGAUAAUCCUGUUGUUAGUGGUGGUGGUGGUUCGUCUCCUCCACCUCCACCUGUUCCACCUCCUAAGCCUUCAUCAACUAACUUAAAUUCAAGAAGGAGUGCAUCGGGGUCUCCUAAUGCUGUUAAUGUAGGAUCACCAAGGAGAGGAUCUGCGUGGCCUGUUGUUGUUUCGGCUAGGACUUCGCCUGCUGAGUCUCGACCUUCAUCUCCCCGGGCUCAUAGUGAAAGUGAAGGGUAUAAUAGUGCUGAUGAACAAAAUCCAUGCUAUGUGUCCUCUUAUGAUGACGUAGUAAGUUGAUGAUUACCUUGUUCUUGUUAAGUAAUUAAUUGGUGUAUGUUCUCAUGAGCUUAAUUGCAUAAUUUUUUUUAUAUCCCCAGUUAGGCGAGGGAGGUGUUAGGUUAAAGUAAUGUUGUUACAAAUGACCUUGUUCGUGAUACAUGUAGGACAUAAUUUUUAUGGAUUAUUCUACCAAGAGACUUGUAGGAAUAAGGUGGAUAAUUUGGUCCUUCUCUUCAAUGCUAUAAGAGAAGAACCACAGUAAUGAAGUAAUGUUUAACUCUGAUAAACUAUCCUACACUUUAACUGGGCUACUUCAUUUAGACUUCAUCAUUUAUUUCUAGUUAUGACUAAACUAAACUUGCUUGCAUCAUUGCGGCCUAGUUUUGAAAGAGUUGUUUGUUAGGUUUCCUAUAUUGGCAUGUUAAUGUUGGGUUUUAUGAUUGUAUCAUAGUGCUUGAAGGUUUUGUAAUGCACUAUUGCAUGUUUAUAUAUUAGUUAAUUAGAAGGUUGAUUCAUGGCCUUCACUGAGAUAAUAUCUUAUAUUGAAAUGGUAUUUGCAUCCAUGUCAGGAAAGAGAGCGACAGUUUGAAAUUGAUAUUAGAAGGGUAAAAGGCUUUGAAGUAAAAAGAAUGUCAGAGGAUGGGAAUUGCCUUUUCCGUGCUGUUGCAGACCAAGUGUACGGGGACUCAGAAUUGUAUGAUUUGGUCAGGCAGAUGAGUGUAGAUUAUAUGGUAUGUUAAUGUUGGGCUAAAUAUAUUUUUCCUUCAGUAUCCAUAUUUCUGCUUUGUUGGAUCGUAAUGUAUUGUACCUAUUAGGUUAGCUUCUAAUCAAUUUUAUGACUUACUGAUUUGAUUUCCACGGGUUUAAAUGGUAUUCUCGCAAAAUGAGGAAUUUAUUAUGAAGGUCCCUGGGUUUUGUGGUUGUGAUAAUAAGUGAAUUUUCUAUCAAUUAGUGACAUUCUGCAGAAUUAGGAACACUGCCACUACCAGUCUGCCAUAGGUGGUUCUAAAACUAGGAUUUAAGAAGAUUUGAUUUUAGGUUAGCGAUUCAUAUUGAAGGUUUUUAAAUGCAUCUAGGUUUCACUAAGUCUAUGCACGCCAGAAUGCCUGGGGCUGGGCAGCAUGAAUUUUUUAUUAUAGCUGGCCAGACUUAUGACCUUUUGUUACAAAAUCAAAGAAAUGUUAGGGUUUUGACUUUUGAGAAUGAGUUAGUGAGAAUGGGUGUUUUUAUCUUUUAAGAUGUAAAUAAGCAAGGAAUAAGGGACUAAUAUAUUGUUAUUAGAAGUAAUUGAAAGUGAAACAUGAACAGUGUUGGAGAUAAUGAAGUCCUGAACUUUAACUUCUAAGAGUAGUCUGCUCUAGUUCAAGCAUAUUAAACCUAAGCCAACAAAUGGAAUGAAGGAAAUAAUUUUCUUACAUAAAUAAUGCUAUUAUCCAGACAUUAUAUUUGCUCAUUCUGGUUUAACUCCCUUGAUGUAUUGUGUUACAUCAUAUUUUCUCAUUUUUGUUCAGCUGGCCCAUUUCUCCUCUGGUCUAGCUUUUGAUAAUUAUUUCUAAUUCUACAUAAAUAUUGCCUGUGGACUGUGAAUCAAACUAACCUCCCAUCAUGGCAUGAUUCUAAUUCCAUUCCAUGUUUUAGUGUAAUUUUAGUGGUAUAAAUGCUAACUCAUUAGAUUUGCUCAUUCUUGUUACACUCAUGUGGUAUAAAUGUAAAUUUAGCGGUAUAAAUGCAACCUCGUGGUCGUUUCUUGCUCACCCACUGUUAUGAAGGAAAAAAUGUUCUUACAAAAAUGAUAUGAUAUUAUAUAGGCUAACUCAUUAGAUUUGCUCAUUCUGGUUACACUCCUGUGGUUUAUUGCACUACUACAUCUUAUUUUCUCACUUUUGCUUAGAUGGCAUAUUUUUCUUCUGGUCUUGCUUUUCAUAUACCUUUUAAUUCUAUUGAAAUAUUGUCUGGUGAUCAAACUAAUUUUGUCGCACAUUCUGAUUUCAUGUCUUUAGGAGCGGGAGAGGGAUCACUUUUCUCAAUUUAUAACAGAAGGUUUUACCUCAUACUGUAAGAGGAAGAGAAGAGAUAAGGUAUGUCGGAACAUAAUUUAGGCUUCUAUGUGGUUUUAUAUGUUUUAUAAACCUACGCCUGCAUUUGCUGGGCUUUUAGGCUUCUAAAACAAAUAUGCCAAAAUUUCCCUUGCAUGUAUUGUUUUUCAAACAAAUUUCUAAAUAUUUAGGUUUGAAUCUCCACAAAUGUUUUGAAAGCUGUACUUAUGGUAGUGAUUAAUGCAAUUAGCAGUUGAAAAAGCACAUGUACACACUUCAGUGUGCCAAUUAAUCUGGCUGUGGGUUCUGAUUGUUCCCCUCGCCCAACCCAUAUUUAGCUUACACCAUCUCCACAAAUAUUUUGAAAUUUGUUUUGUACUAACAGGAGUGAUUUAUGCAACCGGUAGUUGAAAAUUCACAUGCAAAUACUUUUUACAUGCAAAAUAAUCCAGAUGUGGGUUAUGAUUGUUCCCUUCUCCCGGCCCUUUUUUGUUUAAACCACAUUGUUUUAUUCAAGAUAUUUAGAUUGUUAUCUGUGAUUAAGUCGUCAUUUUUUCUCCACUUUCCGCUCUUCAUUCAGUUAUUUUCUUUUUCCUGCUAGUUACGUUGUGCCAUGCUUUACUCUUCUAAGAUGUUCAGACAAGCUUAUUUUACUUUAGCUUUGCAGUUCUUUCAUGAACAUUUAGUUUUUUUCUAUGAGAAAUUUGGCAAUUAUAUCACCUUGUCGUGAUAAAGGGAAUUAUUUGGCAUUCAUGCUAUGAUCGAAUAGUCCAUAGAAUUGGCGGGGAUAUAGACUUGGGUCUUUGGUGUUUAAUUUAGGUGCAGCAGUGGCUGUUAAUUUUACUCCCUUAUAGCUGUGACACAGAUUUCCUUUAAAGAAGUGUGUUUGGCUGUGUGUGCUUUGCAAAAUUUUAAAUUCAUUAAUAGUUUAUCUGUGUAUCUGUAGCAUGAAUUUGAUUUAAAAUAGUUAGUUGGUAACUCUUGAGUCUUUUGGUGUGUCGUGACAUUUUAUUUCCCAAACUUUUUAUGUAUACUUGGUCUUUACUUUUUCAACCGUGAAGUUACAGUUACAGUUAUACCUAAAAUCAUAUAUUAGUUAAAAGUGAAGCUUGUCUUUUGAAGUUAUUGAACCUAUAACGUGUAGAUAUUAGCAUUGACUGGUUUUUUUGUUAUAGCCCAUCACAUACGAUAAAGAGAUGACAUGUUAUUCUUAAUGAAAUUCUAAUCAUUGUGUAUCUCAAAUCUCACAUGUUAAGAACUUCCACUUGGUUUUGAAUGUGUCAAAUUCACGCAGAAUUUAUAUUUUCUAUAGUCAGUGCACACUUGAUAAAGUAAAUUAAGAGAGAUCUCAACAACUAAUGGAAAAAAAAAAUUGUUGCUUUUAGUUUAUUACAUGUAAACACAUUACAGGAUUUUCUGGAAUUUAUUCACUUGAUUUUCUUGUUAAUGAUUGAGUUGACAACUUUUACCUUUCCCUCUAAAAUAAGGGAUCACUUUGAAUUUUACUCCGUUAUAUUUCAGUUCUAACACCACAUGCAGUUUAGUUUGUUGGCUUAUGUUGAUAGUUGGUACUUUUUAACUUUUUUGAAUAGGCGUAAAUAUGUUAACCCUUCCUGGCAGGUUUAUGGGAACAAUGUUGAGAUCCAAGCCAUGUGUGAAAUGUAUAAUCGACCUAUUCAUAUAUACUCCUACUCCACAGGUAGAGCUUAUCUUACAUUUUUUGUAGUUGUUGCUUGUUAGUCAUCUACUAUAUUAUUUAAUAACAUAACUUACUGAUGCAGAGCCUAUCAAUACAUUUCAUGGAAGUUAUGACACCGAUACGCCACCAGUACGCCUAAGUUUUCAUCAUGGUAACCAUUACAACUCCCUUGUUGACCCACGGCGUCCCACAAUUGGUGCAGGACUCGGGUUCAGCUCUCUUCGUGGGGUGAGUACUUUGCUAUUGUAUACAAUGCAUCAUUCUUUUCUUCUUUCUAUUUUAUUGUAUGAUGCAAAUGUUAAUAAUACUUGUUAAUCUUCCAACUGACAAAACACAAAUUUGUGUUGUGCGUAUCUAUAGAAAACAUUGAGUAUUAUAGAAGCCCCAAAGAAAGGGCCCUAUAUAACUUGGUAAUUGUCUCAAUAUUACAUUGAACAGAGAUUGAUUGGAAGAUGGUUGACGGUACAUUUUCAUUUACAAUGCAGACAAAUGUUGACAAAGAUCAAGUCAAGGCUGCUAUUAAAUCUCAGCAAGACCAACAAAUCGAUAAUGCAAGUAUUUUGACUUGAAAUUUUUAACAGCGUGAAUACUUUUUGUUCUUUGAAUUGAACUUGACGCUGCUGGUUUUUACAACUUCCUUCUGACAGGCACUUUUAGCUGAGGGGCGGUUUUACUCUGAUCUUGAGCUCACAGAGAAGGAAAUUGAACUUGCCGUGAUGGAAGCUUCUCGGGCUGAAUACCUUGCCGGUGGUACAUUUAAGCAACAACUUGGCAAUCGAGAGUCGUCUACGUCAACUGCUGAGCCAUCUUCCUCUGGAGCAAGUUAGUAUCUCUUCUCAUACAAUUUGGUUUAUUUGCUUUAAAAGCAAUCUUGCAGUUCUAUUGGUUGCAAAAGCAUUAAUACCUUAUGAAAUCAAGUUUAACAAAAGCAGUUUAAGAAGUUUUCUUGCAUUUUCCCCCCCAAAUUCACCCAUCUUAAAUCUAUCAGUAGACAGACUCAUAUUGUCGGUACUUGGUCUUGAUGUAUUUGUUGAAAUUUGGUGGACUAAAUAAAGCUAACUUGGUGUAUUAAUGUGAGUUGCAGGAUCGUCAGGUAGUGAUCCCAAGAUGGAAAGUGGGAAAGGAAAUAAUUCUAAUCUUAGCAGCAGCAUGAAUAUGUUACUAUCGAUGGGAUUUAGUUACCUGCAAGCAAUUGAGGCAUACAGCAUAUUUGGGGAUGAUGUUGAUUCUAUGAUUUGUUACUUGUUGGAAACUGGCAGCAGUAGCAGACGUAAAGGAAAGGCUACUGAAUGACACGAGAUUUAGUUCGUUAAAAAAAUCAUGGAACUUAAGUUUUCAAUUGUCAUCCAGAUCGAAUAAAUAAAUAUCCUGUAUUUACUCUAGUAUGUUUUCGUAUCUCACGUCUUCACUAAGUUGUUAGAGAGAAAAUUGAGCAAAUAAUAUAAUUUAGUUUGUUAGUGUAAUCCCAAGUUUGAUAAAUGAGAGAUUAUUUGCAACAUUUUUCAAGGGCCAAAUCUAUUAUACAUCUGUAUGGGACGAUUAUAUUUAUCCAAUUUGAUUACUUGAUGCAUAUUUUAUUACUCAAUCACCAUUUAGGCACUCUGCCAAAGUUGCCGGUCUUUAACCAUCUUGGGAUCCUUAACUAAAGAAAAUAACAUGUAGGAGUAUUUGUAUUGAAAUUGGUAUUGGGUGAAUGAAAUUUUGUACAAAAUGUUUUAAAUUGUUAGAAAAUUAUUUCAGUAGAAUUUUAGGCAAGUUGUAUAAAAUUUCUAAUUCAAUGGCGAUUGAAAUGGGAAGGAUCGGUUGUAAUAGAGUUGAUGACUCUUUAAGAAUGAAUUGUGAGCCGUUGAAAUUCUGUCCUUUGGAUCUUCAAUUGUUAUUGUGACUUUUGAAUACAUUAGAUCAUUGGGCAAUAGAAGCACUAUGAUUGAAACAUUGAGAUGGAAGCGGUCAACAAAGCAAAUGAUACAUUGUCUCGAGGGAAUUAUUCGAUAAGUUGGAAGUGGUAGGUUCAGGAAGAGUUUGUUCCAGGAAUCCUGCUGUGAAACUGAUCUAUCUCUUUUCUUUUAGCUUUGAUUAGACGUGCGGUGGAUGAAGAGGUGAUCAUGGUUCCAAACACACUCUUAUUUUAUUGACAAACUUUCGUCCAUUGAAUUCAUCUAAAUGUUGAGUUUGAUUUGAACUCGUGUUUUUGUUAUGUUCCACGUUUUUGGUUUUUGAUGAUGAGACACCGAUAAUUGAUCUACAACUUCGUGGCCCACGACACCGAAUACAACAAGUUCAAUGGAAACUUCAUUGGCACAAAGAAGGAUCCGUUAAACAAACUUGUGUACAUUGCGCGACAUUACCCACUUGCGCACCUAGCAUGUGCCAUAAAAAGAAUAGGGUGAUAAUAGUUUUCCCUCGCAAGGUAAUUUAAAACAGCAAGGCUUUAAAUUUCAACAAAUAUAUUUCACAUACCUAGCGAAACCGCACCAAUUUAUAAAUUUAUGUUUAACAUGAUGUUCAAUAAAUUUUAAGUAGAUAGUUAUACGACAAAUUCUAUUGUACACCCAAAGAUUUGAGUGUAUUGGUACACUAAAUCAAUAAAUUAAUAGUUAAAUGUAUUAUUUUUUGAAGAGAAAAAUUAUUUUCUAUCAUCUAUAAUUAUAAUAAUUAAAUUUUAUUUACCAAAAACAAUAAAAUGUAAAAAAAAAAAAUUAGUAUGAUUUUUAUAAACAACAAAAUGAUAUUUUCUAAAAUAUAAAUAUCAACAAAUAGCUCUUUAUUCCAUAAAAAUAGUAAUUAAUUUAAAGAUUUUUGAAGUAUGAGUACCGAUAUACUUUAAUUUGCAGGUGUACCAUAGAAGUUCUUUAGUUAUACUAUUUGAAUACACUCUGAUGUUUUUAAAAAAUAUGAACUAGACUUAAUUAAAUUUCUAUAAAAUCGACUUGUAAAAUAAAAAAUAACCAUAUCUCAUAUAAUGUGAGACUCUCAACAAAAUUUUUACCGAAAAGAAUAGUAGUUACUAGAGUUCCUUUCCACGGCUGUUUCUAAAAAAUCACACAUUUAUUCAUAAGUACACUAAUAGAACAAAAUGGUGGUUUUAUUUUUUGAAAGUGUACUUUUGGACACAUUUAAGUGGUGGGAAAAAAAAAAAAAGCUACCUUGUUUUCACAACUGCAGUAAUUAUGAUUAUGAUAUGCUUGUCAAAGGUACUAGUUUUUGACAGGACAAAGAGGGCAUGGACCAAAAGACGAAAGAAAAAAAAAGACAAAACAGAAGCAGUUUUUUCACGUGUCCACUGUCAUUCCCUCCAAAUUUAUGUCUUGGGUACCCUCCUUGGAUAGGAUUUCUGUUGCCAUUGCAGUUGCCAUUUAAGGUCGGAUUUAUUUAUUUAAUUAAAAUUAAGCUGUGUACUCACUCACUACUCAAGCAUUUUUUUUCCUUCCCUGAUUUUCAGAUACAUUCUUCACAUGAAAUUUAUGUGCUAGGAAUUAAUUUAACUGGCUAAUAUUUUAAGUCACUCCCCCUUAAAAAAAAAAAAAAUUUAAGUCAGUCGUUAAUAUCUAAAAUAUAUGAAAUUCGUCAUUUUUCGUUUAUGUAUUUAUAAACUUAACCGAUGAAUUUCAUAUAUUUUAAGGAUUAGUUAGUAAUUUAAUUUUAAGGAGGUAUUCCCUCCGUUUCUAAAUAUAAAUAAUUUUAAUUUUUAGAUUCAUUCAAUUAAUGAUGUAUGUGGUUCAUAAUACGUACCACAUACAUCAUUAAUUGAAUGAACCUAAAAAGUAAAAUUUGCUUAUAUUUAGAAACGGAUGGAGUAUUGGUUAGUAUAUUAAUAUAGUUGGAGAUUAAAUUAAAAAGUAAAUUACAAAUUAAAUUGAUGAUUUAUUCUUUUUUUUAUUUACCUCAUCAAAUAAUUUUUUUUUUAGUUUGUAAAUGUAACGAUAAAUAUCAUCUAAAAGAUGUUUAGCCUAAUAAUAUCAACAUUGCUAAUCGUAAUUGAGUUAAGUGUUACAAACCCUCCUCAAAUAACUCUACAAUAGAAACCAUCAGUUAGUAAAUAGACUUGUUUGUUAAUUAAUCAUCAUAACCACUAACUAGAAUAAAACACCCUCAACAUCACCACGAGAGAUGUCAAACAUGCUUCUUUUUGAAGAAAAAUACAUUUUUUUAAGGUUGAAGAAAACUUGAAGUCUACUCUCUCACAUUUUACCAGAAGAAAACUUGAAGUCUACUUCCAAACUGUUUACUUGUUAAUUAAACAAUAUUUUAGAAUAGCCGUAAAAAAUUGGAAAUAUUUGAAGAAUAAAUAUGUUAAUAAUUUAGAUUUUCGGUGAAUACUAGUAAAAAUACCCGGUACAGUGAUAAUAUUAAUCAUAGAUGUUUUUAUGAAUAUAUUAACUAGCAUAUAUGGAAUAUAUAUGUAACACAAACAUAUAUCAUUCACAAAUAUUGGUUGCAUAUUCUUUUUUUUUUUUUUUUUUAAGGAUUGCAUAUUUUUUUAUAUAUAUAUCAUUCACAUAUAUUGGUCCAUCGUGAAUCAAAAAUUAAAAAAUAUUUAAAAUUUCAAUAGUAACAUACAUUAUUGUUUUGAAGUAGGCGUUUUCUUUUUAAGGUGGGAGUAUUUAAGUUAGAUGAUAACUUAAUUGAUUCUAGAUUAAUUAAAACAAUAAAAAAUAAAUAUGUAACUUGUAUUGAACCAUCUCUAAUCAUGUCACGUUAAAAGAUGUGAACUUUUACCUCUAAAGAUUAUUGUCAAAUGCCGUUGAAUUUUUUGAUAAUUUAAUCUUUAACAUCGAUACAGGUAGAUCAUUUAUAAAGAUGAUUAUUGUAGCAUUCACUUUUAGAACAAUCCUAAGUGUGAUCUAUAGAUUAAAUAUUUUCUUUUGUCAAAAAAGAUAUUGUCGGAAAAUUAACGUUAGUUUUUAUUGCAAUAUUUUCUUUUAUUGGACAGAUAAAACCUUUUUAUUUUUUGAUGGAUGGACAAAUAAAACCUUAAAAAGUUGCACAAACUAAAAAGAGAGGGAGUAAUUAACAAAUUAGUUGGAAGGUUAUUUAAGUAAUUUCAAAAUUCUAUUUCUUGAUGAAGAAGCUGAGUCUGAUAGACUCAAACACGGGUUCACCUGCAUUUCAUUUUCCAUUGCACUCUUUCUACGUCUUUCAUCAUCUUCUCCUUCUCACCCAACCCUAACCCUAACCCUAAUCCCCAAUUUUCAAUUCUAGGGUUCAAUCCCUAACUCAACAAUGUCUCAGAACGGGAAAUUGAUGCCGAAUCUCGACCAACAAAGCACUAAGCUUCUCAAUCUCACUGUUCUCCAACGAAUUGACCCUUUCGUUGAGGAAAUUCUCAUUACUGCUGCUCAUGUUACGUUCUAUGAGUUUAACAUCGAUCUUAGCCAAUGGGUUCGUUCAUUUUCACCCCCUUUUUUUUUGUGUUUUCUCUCUCUAGUUAGUUUCUCUCUCAAUGUUGUGUUUGAUUGUUUUGCAGAGUCGUAAGGAUGUUGAAGGAUCUCUCUUUGUUGUUAAGAGGUUUGAAAUUUUGUAUUUUGUUAACGGGGUUGAUGGGUUUUAAUUGAUUUAAGUGGUUUAAUUGGGAAUUUGUUUUUAACUGAGGUUAAUUGUGGUUUUGUUUUUUUAAUUUCAGAAAUACUCAACCAAGAUUUCAGUUUAUUGUGAUGAAUCGUCGGAAUACUGGUUAGUGAGUCUGUCUGUUUUUGUUGAUUCUAAAAAUUUUCAAUUUUUGUUAAAUUUUCUUAUUUGGUUUGGUUAUGAGAACUUAUGUUUUGCUCCCAAACAUGUGUCCAAUGGAUUAUUUGUAAACUAGACUAUACUAAGCAGUGUUAUCAAUCACCGAUAGGGGAAAAUGAUUUUUAAAAAUCCGCUACUCAAUAUUGCUUUAGCGCCCGCCACUAUAGCUGCAAUAUGACAACAUUUUGUACUCCAUCUUAUAUUGUGAAACACUAGUGGUUUUAACUUCUAUUUGCGCUGUAUAACUUCUAUUUAACAACACUGAUAGGAAGUGAGAUCAAAACACUGUCGUCAAAUCAGAAAUGCUUGAAUCAGAUGCUAUUACAUUUUCUGUUAAUAUGGUGGCUGCAUAAAUUUCAGUUUGUCACCUAGGUUGUUGGAAAGUUAGUAUUUUUAGUAUAGUUUUUUGAGUUACAUUCUGGUCUUGGAAUAUUUAAGUAUGUAAUUAUUCCUCUAUAUUUGCUCGUGUUUGGUAAUAAUAUAUUUUAUAGUUAGUUGGUAUUCUUUUAUACUUAAAUUUAUAGAACUUGUUUUAGGUUUGGCUAUCGGCCUCCAUUUUCUGCAUCUUGCACUCAAUAUUUUGAAGUGUUGUCAAAUAGUGGCACUAUAUCACAGUGGAUGUUGAGGGAUCACUUAUAAAAACCACAAUUUUAUACUAGUUUCACUAUUAUAUGACAAUAGCCAAUAUCAGCUGCUAUUCCACUUUUUGUUACCAGAUGUAGCGGCAAUAGAUGAAAAAAGCGAAUUUUAGGGUUUUUAAAAAUAGUAAACAAAGAGUCUGCGUGUGCACCAGACAUGACCUAUUUUUAAAAUUGAAAAACUGAAGAGUUGGUGACUAUUACUCUUAUAUUCACCGUAAUGUGCCAGCCUUUCAAUAUGCAAGCCAUGCUUAGCCUCCAUUCCCUUUUUAAUUUUCAUGCAACAUGCCUUUUUAUAUUUAAUUAUUGACUUAUUUCAACUGCUAUUUGGCUUCUACUAUUUGCCCGCAACACUAUCUGAGUAUCUGCUAUCAUUUCACAUAGUAGGUUUUUCAGCAUUUUGCUAUUUUCCGCAAUCCACUAUUGAUAAAAGUGAUAUUUAGAGUGUUGCGAAUUAUUAAUCAAAAAUUGUACAUUUGUAUUGUAGAUAUUGUUUUGUGGAUGAAAAUAUACUUUUGUGAUUGGUGGUGAUUGAGAAUUGAUAAUGCCCUAUCUCCAUGUAUGUAUUUAAUCCUUGUCAUUGUUGGCAUAAGCAGAAAAUUUGGUGGAAAACCUCCUGGGGGAUUUCGAGUAUGAAAUUCAGGUUCCAUAUCUAUUGUAUAGAAAUGCUGCUCAAGAAGUGAAUGGUAUUUGGUUCUAUAAUGCUCGCGAAUGUGAAGAGGUUGCAAAUCUUUUUAGCAGGUAUUGUUUUCACGUUUUGGUGAAAAUGUUUGCUCUUGCGGUGUAUCUGAAUUGUCAAGGGAGAAUACUCCAUGUUUGAACUUGUAUAUUUUGUUUUCAAAAUAACUUAUAAUAAUAUAUUUAUUAGAGAGAUUUAGGAAUGUAGGAUUUUAAAGAGUAGUUAAUACAAUUUCAGAAAAUAUUUCCCUGGAAUAAAGGGUAAUUUACCAUUAUAGUUUUGAAAGCUAAACACCAAUGUGCUGUACCUAUUAGGGUUUGGAUGUGCCAUCUCUCCCUCUGCCAGUUCCUCUGGAUGAUUAGUUGAACUUAAGUGUUAACGUCCAAAUACAGUAUUUGUUUUGUAUGCCAGUCAAUUUCAAUUUACGACCAUUAGUUGGAGGGUUAUGAAGUUAGUUGAUGGUAUACCAUUGAUGACACAUACUAGGCAAUAAUUGACUUUUUUGUUCAAUAAUUUACUUAAAAUAUCUAAUCUUUUGAGCAUUACCCUGGAUUGCAGAUUUAUGUUAAUAUAUACAAUCCUUUAGAUAUUUCCCUAUACACCCAGACUAGAAAUUUGUUGCACUUCUUUGAGAAUAGGAAAAACCUUGAUUUAUCGUUAUUGAUAUUUUAUUGUCGAAAUGAUUUCCUUGUAAAACCUGCAAAAAAUAAAUAAUCAGAAUUGUACUUUAGACACAUUCAAUGGGGAAAAAAGUUUAUUACAACUAUUUCCUAGUAAGUUAUCUAAGAAACGGCGAACAUUAGCAGUGGAUAGAUAGGCUUUGAAUGGUGUGCAUUGUAUUUGUUGUUAGAAUUUUAGAAAGGCAUACAAAAGUACAAUUUUUGUUAGGGCCGAGAAAAGUAUAUAAAUUAUAGAUUAUUUAUUUAGUGGUGGCUUUGGUUUCUGAUGUUCUUAUGAAUCUAAAUUGAUUUGUAAUUCAUAAAAUCAUCAUUAAAUUCUCACCUCACAGGCGUACACAUGUGCAUCUGGUCAUCAUAUAUAUAUUCUCACUUAUGUUUGGCUAAUUUUCAGGAUUCUUAAUGCAUAUGCCAAGGUGCCUCCAAAGUUAAAGGUCUCUUCUACAAAGAGGUAAUUAUAUGUUUCUAGCAACACCUUAUUGCUCUCCAAUGAAUGGCAGAGCUGGUUUAAUCAAUAUUAUUAUAUUUCUUUGCUCUAUCUACCCCGUUCUACUCUACUAUUAUAUAUUCAUAUCCAUGCAUUUGACAAAUGCAUGGGGUUUGAAGUGAUCUUCAUGGACGACUUCUCUUUCUGUUGCAUGUUUUGUUUGCGAGUUCUGUCUGAUCUCUAUCUCAUGUAACUCUACUUUGAUGGGUCAUACCUAUCUUUCCCAACACACUUUCAUGGACGGUUCUGUCUCUAUAAGUGCAGAUCACCACUUGCAUGUCGAUAUAUAAUGACUUUGCAACUCACACCUUGGGCAUGUUGUUGUAUAAUGUUAUUUUGGUUUGGAAUGGGAUAAGUUCUUUAAUUUGUCUAUCUUUGUGUCAUUUGUAUACAUUUUAGAAAUUCGCACCGUUUCCCUUUUCAAGGGGGUUCCCAUCUUUGAUAUUCAUAAAUAUUGGCACCAUGUUGCAUUCUUAGAUUUCUUCUUUGUACUUUGUCCGCUUAAGCUUUGGAUAAUCUCUUACCCUCCCCCUCAUUGUACUAUCCUCAUUUUAUCUUUAGGAAAAAAAAAAAGUAGUAUUCCCAUCAAAAAGAUUUCAACAUCAACAGUAAGUGAUUAUUCUGUAGUAGACAGAUAAGUUAUGGAUGCAUACAUUGUCAUAUUUCUGUACUCUAUACUUCAUAUUCAACUAAUGAAGCCUCACUUGCAUUUAUUGCAGUGAAUUUGAGGAACUGGAAGCAGUACCAACUAUGGCAGUCAUGGAUGGUCCUCUUGAGCCAUCAUCAUCAAUUACUUCCAAUGUAGCUGAUGUUCCUGAUGAUCCAUCCUUUAUAAAUUUCUUCAGUGUAUGUACCAUUGCGAACACUUUUCUUUUGCUCCAAAUAAUUUGUUACGACGACCUUUUUUCCUUUCAUUUUCUAAAUUGUCUUGAAUUGGUUUUAUAUCUUGCAUGCUUAUCUUGCUUGUGUCCUUUGGUUCCCUGGUACAUAAGCGCUCCUCAUUUUUUUAAUUUUUAACCAUAUUCGUGUAAAAUAUUUUCGUCUAUGUCGCAAUAGUCUUCUCUGCUUAUUGAUGUUGGAGAAUAAGAGAAUUGAAUUAAAUUAACAAAUGCAAACUGGAUAAGUUAAUUGAUGUUUUUUCUUUUAAAAUUGGGAAGGGGGAAAAUCAUUAAUUAAAGUGGCACUAACAACCAUUUUACAAUUCUCCCCAAGGGGAUUUGAACUCCAUCCUUUGUGGGUAUAAGGUCAAGACUGGGAUUAAUUCCAAAUACAAUUUUUAAUUCUUCUUUCAACGCAUGUACCUACUUUAGUUCUGACAUUCUUAGUGACUCACAUUUUUGGAUUUAUAUUUUGAAUUGAAAUUUCAUUGGUUGUCCAUUUUUUACACACUUUUUCUAUGCUAGACUUGUUUGGACAUAUUUCAAAACUAUAAGAUCUGCUGAUGAGCAUAUGGUGCUCCACUUAUGAUCAUUUUCAUUUGUAUGUAAAUAUGUAAUAUUCAGCACAUGGAUAUUUUACAAAUUUGUUCUUGUUAAACAUUUGUAACUCAGUUCUGAUCAGGUCGUUUAUUCCUGAUACAUUAUUAUUACAGGCGGCUAUGGGUAUCGGGAAUACUUCAAAUGCUCCGAUCACCGGACAACCUUAUCAGUCUUCUGCUACAAUUUCUUCUUCUGGGCCAACUCAUGCUGCUACACCUGUUGUGCCACUGCCAACCUUGCAGAUACCAUCUCUUCCAACAUCUACUCCGUUUACACCCCAGCAUGAUGCUCCUGAGUCCAUCAACAGCAGCAGCCAAGCCACAAAUCUUGUGAAGCCUUCUUUUUUUGUUCCUCCCCUUUCUUCUGCAGCAAUGAUGAUGCCCCCUGUGUCUUCAUCCAUACCUACUGCCCCUCCACUUCAUCCUACUGGUACUGUACAACGACCUUAUGGUACUCCAAUGCUACAGCCAUUUCCACCUCCAACUCCACCACCUUCACUUGCUCCUGUUUCUUCUCCCCUUCCAAACCCAGCUAUUUCUAGAGAAAAGGUUCGAGAUGCUCUGCUGGUGCUCGUUCAGGUUAGUUUACUUUCUUGGGAGCUAGUAAUAUUUAUGAUCUUGUCACACUAUUCCUUACUAAGAAGCAUAGAUUAUACCAUUAUUUAUUUGUUUGUUUGUUUGUUUUUCCUCUCAAUUUCUAAUUUCUCUAUUUUUUGGCUGCAUGGUAGGACAAUCAAUUCAUUGAUAUGGUUUAUAAAGCGCUGCUGAAUGCUCAUCAAUCAUGACUUUCGAGAGGUGUUUAAUUAUCAACUCACUGGAAGGAUUGUUUUUUGGGCUGAAUUACAUUUGCUAUAAGUUUUAGGCCAGGCUUUAAUCAUGUCCUAAACUUUUAAAUGUUUCGGUCAUAACAAUUUGUAAAAUUGGUUUUGCAUUGUGACUGCCAUUUUGAUCUUGCUAGUUUCCUGAAUGUGUCAUAGUUCAGUUUUCUACGGGUUAAACUGCCAUAUCAACUAUAUAUACUGACAUAACAUGGCAGGAAAUGAUGAAGGUCCAGAUGAGUGGUUAUAGGGGUGCUAAGGUUGUUAUUAAGUCUUGUUUAUUGUGUAUUUUAUUAAACUGUUAUGGUAAGACGACUUUCUUUGCAUAGCACACCAUUUGUCGGUGUUUCAUUUUUCAACAAACAUGGACUCUGUUGCAUAAUGUAAGUAUAUAGUCAGCCCAUUUUUUGUGUGAAUUACACAUCAACUGAAAAGCAUUCUUCUGACUGACAAAUCUGUUUAUCCUCCACCCCUAGUGAUUUUGCAAUAUCUCUACAUUUUUUUUAACAAGAUGCGAUAUAUCUACAUCUAUCAACCUCAAAAUUGCAUUGUUUUAGGUAAAGAAUUUUAAUAUUUAUUUUUAUUUUUGUUUGUGAAAUUCUAGGCUUGAGUAGUUGACUAUUAUGCAAAACGUAUUAUAUCCUUGAAAAAUGUAAGAUAUAUGUACAGGUUACAUACACAAAAAAUAUUAAAAGAUCAAUUUUUAACUCAUCAAACCCUUUGUCCAACUCAACUUUUGUUUUUAAAAACUAUUUCUUCACUUCCACAAUACCCAAACACAGGAAAACCACACAACUAGUAUUCUGAAUUUGUACACAUUCGAGACAUUUUUAUGGAACUAUUUUAUUCCACACCAAUUAGUUUAUCUCAAACCUUCCUUGAUAUAUUUUCCCACCCCCAUCUCCCACACCUAUUUGUCUGCAACAUUUUCCUGUAUGAUUGUAUCUUAUUAAUCUCAUUUACUCAUUUAUGAUCUCCUCUUCUCAAAAACUAAAUAAAUCGCAUCUUUAUCUAUUACCAAGUUAAAUAAUCUAUCAAAUUUGUCGUGUAAUUUUGUACUCGCAAUCCAAGGAUCCCUUUUCAAUCCAAUGAUCCCUCCAAAAUAAUGUGUCCAAACCAUUUUACCACUCUUAUUAAAUUAUCAAUCCUACACAUAUACUUCCACCGUGUAUUUUAAUAUUUUAUAUCAAUGUCAUUGGUCACCCACUUUUAUUCCCCACAACCAUUAAAAGCUAUCAAGUCCUAUCAAAGGAGGUUUGGUCCAUGAGAAGAGAUUAAAUUUCUUCAAUGUAGUAAAUCAAAGUUCAAAUUUCGACCGGGAGAUGUAUCCACAUUUAAUGUUCGAUACGUCUCAAAUUUGUUUUGCUUCAAUAGAAAGAACAUGUUAGAAAUUAAAAAAUCUCUCUCAAGUUCUUACCCCUAACUCCCCAUCCUCCUCGGUUACGAAAAUCAUUUCUUAUUUUAGCCAAUGUUCAUUCCAACCAACAAUAAAGUACUUUUGCCGCCUCUACCAACAAUGUUGACAUACAUUUAUACUCGCCAGUAGAGUUUUAUAAAGGUUCACUUAAGUUUCGAAAUAAGUUUAAAAAUUACAAUACAACUUUAUUGCUAUGGUGUUUGCCAAUAUUUUCCUUCCCACAAUUUAUGGUUCAUUCACGAAUUAUAGAUUUGUCACCUUCAACUCCUAUAAACACCAAAAUGGUAUCCAAAAUACAAUCCUAAAUUCCCAACUUUAUUGAUUUGUUCAUCAUUGUAUUACAUGGUUUUUAUAUAAUACUAUGCCGACCUCAAUUAACGGACAAGACUUAGUUGUUGUUUAUCAUUAUGUUAAAUCCUUCAACAACAAUUGGAAAGGAAAAAAAAGGUGAGAACAUGUCACCCUGUCUCGGACGGAUUGCACUUGUGUGACAUAAUGUUACAUGAUAUUGACUAAUUCAAGUGUGAGAUGUGACAAUACAAUUUUUGUAAACAUAAAAAGAUGUGAAAGAGAAAGAAAAUAGUUGAAUUGACUUAGGCGUCACAAUUGGAUUCGUCGAUGUCAAUGACGUUCUCUCCUUAGUGGUACACAAAUGGAGUCCAUCUCAAAUCCUUGCAAUAACAAACCUUUUUUUGUUGGAUUACCAUUUACCAACUCAAAUGUUCAUGGAGAUCUUGAACAUCUUUCUCAACUGUGGCACAAUUAGUUCAAAUUCUUUCAGAAGCGAAUGCUUUAGAAUAUUCCAUUCUUGUAGCAGCCACCGCUUCGGAUCCUGCACCUCUGCAAUUUCUGGCCCCAUAUUCUGGGUGUGCCAGUUCAUCUCUUUCAACUUUCAAGUCUCAUAACCUCUCUUAGAAACUCCCAAUAUAUCGAAUCAUAUGUUAUUCUAAAGUCCACAUAGAAUCAUACAUUUACACCUAUAAAAAAUAAAACAUAGUAUCUUUUAUGAUGUCAACCUUUCAAUUCUUAAGGAAAUGAGCUACCAGUGAUCUAAAAAAAGUUCAGCUGAGAUGUAAAUAAAAAAUACAUAUAACUUUUAUUACUAAGACUAAAAACACCGAUUAUUUACAUUUGUAACGACUAAAAAAUAAUUACCGAUAAAAAUAUUUACUUUUGUAACGGCUAAAAAUAAAAUUAUGGAUAUUUAUAGAAAUCAAUGAUUUAAUUAACCGUAAAAUAAAAAGGCAGUUUGUCAAAACAAAAACAAAAAAAGUUACCGAAAAAAAAAAAAAGCAUUUUCUUUAAUAUUUGAAAUUAGGGGUGUUCAAAACCAAACCAAUCCAAUAUAAAAACCGUAAAUCGAACCAGCCCAAAUCGAAACCGUAAAAAAUUGCAUUUUGUUUGGAUGUAUUCGGAUCAUUUUUUUACUCAACCGCAUAGUUUGGUUUGGUUUUCGGUUUUUAUUUUACCAACCCGAACCAAACCAAAUCAAACCGCAACAUAGCAAAAACACUAAUUAAAAUCGAUGUCACCUAGACUAAUACUAAUAGAAACUCAAUGAAAACUUUUAUAAAAUGGCAUAUUUGUUCUCUUGUAAGUUUCUUCUUUGCUUUUUAUUUCAAAAUGUAUUUAUGUUCUACUUGAACUUACAGAGAAUGAUAAAAUCUUGGUAUUUUACAUUUCUUACACAAUAGAAUUAAUUUUUGUCCACAUUUUUAAUUUGGUUUAUGUUGUUUGGUGAAAUUGAAAAUGAAAAUGUAAUGUGGAAUGAAAUUAAAAACAUUAUCGGAAACAUUGUUGAAAAUAUAUUGCGUUUUAGGUUUUUAACUCGAUUUUAAUGUUGGAAUAAAAUAAUUCUAGUGUCCCAAAAAAAACUGCACCAACCGAUCCAACCCAAACCGCAAUGGUUUGGUUCGGUUCAUAUUGUAUUUUAAAAGUCAAUCAAAGCAAAUCAAACCGAAUGAUUUUCGGUUCGGAUGACUUUUAGCCUCAAAACCGAAUCAAACCGCUUUGCGAACACCUCUAAUCGAAACCAUUAUCGAUUUAGGUUAAAACUUCAUAAGCAUUGCACUGUUCCUUGAACGAGUGAAGUGAGGAAGCAAUGACUCGUUUGAGCUCUGAGCAGGUAUUGAAAGACAACAAUGCCGUCAAUCCAAGUUCAAUUUCCAGUCUUCACCUCACUCACAAAGCUCUUUCCGAUGUAACUUUCCAUCCACCCCCUUUUCUUUUCUCUAACCCCUUUUGUUAAAACCCUAAAAAAUCAUAACUUUUUUGAAUCUUUGUUAAUUUCCCAGGUAUCAUGCUUAGCCAGCUUCAAUAAAUUGGAAAAGCUUGACCUAAAAUUCAACAAUCUCACUUCACUUGAGGUAUUUUAUUUCUUAAUUUUUUUAAAUUAAGAAUUUAUUUUUGAAGUGUAUUUGAUUGGAUUUUGUAUGUGUGGUGUAAUAGGGAUUGAGGGCAUGUGUUACUUUGAAGUGGUUAUCAGUUGUGGAGAAUAAAUUGGAAAGCUUAGAAGGAAUUCAAGGACUUACUAAGCUCACUGUAAGUAGUAGCUAGCUACUUUGUUAAUAUCAGUAAUAUUUUUUAUUUUUAAAGUUUAAUUUUUAAGCCAUAUCCUAUAUGUAUGGGUAGCUUAGAAGGGUUUAUUUGUUAUUGAUAGCUUUUCUUGUGUUAAGGGCCUGUUUGGAUUGGCUUAUUUUUGAGCUUGUGAAAAAUAGCUUAUGCAAAUAAAUAAGCUUUUAUGUUAAUUCAUGAGUUCUCACUAACGCAAAUUUUAUCUUCAUAAGCUGUUUUUUCAUAAACUACCUUGACAAGCUUAUGAAUAAUACAUAAAAACUUACAUAAGCAAAAAUAUAAGGCAAUCUAAACAGGCCCUAAACUUGCUAUAUUUCUAUUUCUAUGGGAAAAUAGGAUACGCACCGACAAUGUAAAAUAAUUUUUACACUGUCAUCCAAUAGUAACCGUGUAUUCAACCAAAUUACCCCACUACAUAUAUGCCCCACUUAAGGGUAUGAUAUGGAGAAAUAGUUGAUUCCUAAUGGAUGCAAGUGUAAAAUUAAUUUACACUGACAUAGCAUAUCCAUUAAACUCUAUUUGUAUGGAUUUAAUAUAUAUAUAUAUAUAUAUAUAUAUAUAUAUAUAUAUAUAUAUAUAUAUAUACAUAUACACUGUCAGUGUAAAUAUUUUUACACUGUCAACCAAUUUAAAUCCUCGGAUAGUCAGAUCGUUAAAAACAUGUGACUUUAAUCAUAAUUACUUGUAAACUUACAUAUGAUUGAUUGUGAUUUGUUGGCAGUGUAUCAAAAUUAAAUUCUGAUUGUAUUGAGAAACCAAAGUUGUAUGAUUAAGGUCAUGGAGAGUCUUCUCAUCUUGAGAUUUAUGUGAUUGUAGUUCCACUAAUGAAACUGAAUUUCAAAUGGCUGAUAGAAAUUAUCUUGGUCAAAUGGCCACCGAGUAGAAUUGUUUAGUUUCGGAUGAAUAAGCUGUUUUAUUUUGCCAGUGACAGUAUUUUUGUGUACUUAUAUCUUAUUAAUAUACAUGUUAUGAGUAUCUUUAUGGUAAGUACAGAUUUAUUUCCAUGUGCUCGAGUUUAUAGUUAUUGAGAUUAUAUUUGUUAGAAAGUAGAAACCUUUCAUCUCACAGGUCAUGCUAAAUGUUUAAUAAAGCGUAAUGCUUACGGUCUUAAUAGCGUUGUUACGCUUGUACAGAGAGUGGCAUUCUGCUGAGUUAUUUUCAGAAAAUGGGGAUUCUUCAUUUCACUACUUUUUCUUGUGUUUGUUUUGUUUCCACAUCCAUAUGUUCAGCAUAAUUUACUAAACAUAUUUUUGUCGAACGACCUGCCUAUGCUUAUAAUUUGUAAUAAAAUGCAAUGAGUUAUAUGAGAAUGUAAGAGUCAUUUUUAUACGAUCAUGUGAACCAGGUACUAAAUGCAGGAAAAAAUAAACUUAAAUCUAUGGAUGAGAUUGGGUCACUUAGUACCAUCCGUGCCCUGAUUUUGAAUGGUGAGACUUCUUACUUUAUCACAUGCCAGCCUCGUCUAUUUUGAAAGUUGAACUUAGAACAAUGCAUGCAAAAAAUAUUAGUAGUGAAUCUUUAUAUAUAUAUAUAUAUAUAUAUAUAUAUAUAUAUAUAUAUAUUUCUGUCUUUCUAAUUUUUACAAUCAUGUUUACUUUUGUUUUUGACAGACAAUGAGAUUGUCUCCAUUUGCAAUCUUGAUCAGAUGAAAGAAUUGAAUACUCUCGGUAUGACUAAUUGUCUUCAAUUUCUUUGAAGUCUUAAGAUUUUCUGCGCUAGUAGGAUAAGUUUCUGCCACAGUCCAUCUUUUUCAGACUUUAGCGAGUGAGACGGCUUUGAUGCUGUGCUUUCAUCACAAUAGGCUAUAUUUUAGUUUUGAUUGCUUCUUAGUUUUUAUCUAUUUAUAAAAAUGAUGCACUUUUUGAAAGCAAAUGUUACUUGAAAACAAGAGAGUUUGUAAGCUGGAAGUAUAAAUAAAAUAAAAAAAAUUACUCAAAAACUUUAGUUCUAAACUGUUAAAGUAAUUGAUUCAAACUUUUUGAUAGAUCCUAUUUCCCAAGGGAUUUUAUAAGAAGAGGAGGUUUAUCAACAUACAGUUGUUAAAUUUUUGUAUGCAUGCAACACAACUCACAGACACAUGCGCACACUAUGCACCUGUUGUAUGUUUGAAAUGCAAACUAUUUUUGGCCAAAUAAUAUCUUGCUGAUGGUUCCAGCUCAAAUAAUUUUUGAAAAUCUCUAAUUUCUGUAGUUCUAUCUAAAAAUCCUAUCCGUAAAAUUGGCGAGGCUCUGAAGAAGGUGAAAUCCAUCACAAAGGUAAAGUUUCCCCCUAAGCUGUUAAGCUCCUUUGGUGCUCAUUAGUUAUUUCAGUAUUGUAUUCUGAUUUCUCCUAAUUCCUCUUCUGGUUCCAGCUUUCCCUUUCUCAUUGUCAGCUUGAGGGUAUUGACACUUCCCUCAAGUUUUGUGUUGAACUGACAGAGCUUCGUCUUGCUCACAAUGAUAUUAAGGUGUGCCUUAAAUUCGUGACGCGGCUUUGCUUUUUGAUUCUACAUACUUUUGGAAUGUUCAAUGUGGUUCAUUCAUAUCACAUUUGCUUUUUGACUUAAUUUCUUUAGAAUAUUUUGCUUUAUAUUGUGUACACUAUUGUGCUAACUUUUGGAUUUCAGUCUCUCCCAGAAGAACUAAUGCACAAUUCAAAGCUUCGGAAUUUAGAUUUGGGGAAUAAUGUGAUCGCAAAAUGGUCAGAUAUAAAGGUUUGUCAUCUGGAACUCUUCCAACAACAUUUUAUCAUUAUCUAGAACACUUAACCAUGUACCUUCAUCUUGUAUUGCAACUGUAGGUGCUCAAAUCACUCACCAAACUGAGAAAUCUCAAUUUACAAGGAAAUCCUGUUGCUACAAAUGAGAAAGUUAUAAGAAAGGUGAUCCCCCUGUUUUUUUUUUGGUUCAAAAUGUUAGUUUUUAUGACAUUUUUAAAUUUCAUCCUUAAACAACCAUGUGUAUGAUGUUACAGAUUAAGAAUGCAUUGCCAAAGCUACAAGUAUUCAACGCCAAACCAAUAGAUAAAGAUACAAAGAAUGAGAAAGGUCACAUGACCGAUGAUGCUCAUGAUUUUUCAUUUGAUCAUGUCGAUCAAAAUGAGGAUGAUCAUCUUGAAGCUGCUGACAAAAGGAAGUCCAAUAAAAAAAGAAAGGAAACUGCUGAUGCAUCCGAGAAGGAAGCUGGGGUCUAUGAUAAGGAAAAUACAGGUCAUAACAAGGAUAAUGGAAAUAAAAAGAAAGACAAACUCACAGGUACUGUUGAUCCUGACACGAAGAAUAAAUCAACGAAGAAAAAGCUAAAAAAGGACGACAACAAGCCCUCGGAAAAAGCUUUGGCUCUUGAGGAGAAUGUUAAUAGGACUGAGAAGAAAAAGAAGAAUCGAAAGAACAAGGAACAAAGUGAAUUUGAUAUUAUUGAUGAUGCCGAAGCUUCAUUUGCUGAAAUUUUUAACAUCAAGGAUCAGGAAAAUCUGAAUCAUGGUGGUGAAAUGAAGCUACAGGACCAAGUGCCUAAGGAUUUGAAAUUGGUGAGCAGCAUAGAAACUUUACCUGUCAAGCAUAAGAGUGCCAAAAUGCAUAACGUGGAGUCUCUAUCAUCUCCAGGAACAGAAAUCGGAAUGGGAGGUCCAUCAACAUGGGGAGAUUAGUUAUAACUUGUCGAGAUAUGCCGCUAUGUUUAAAAACCUGCAAUUUUUGACUCUUGACUCAUCUGUUAGUUUUCUCAUUGCAUCUCUCCUUGUUCAGGGUGAGCACAUUUAUUUUCUGCUUUGUUUUUGACAUUUUUGACCAGUAGGAAUCGAGCUCGGUACUCUAGGGUUUACAACCAACCACUUGUGCUAAGCCCAGGUGGAGGCUAACAUGUGAAUUGCACAUCAGAUUCUGGCCCUGCUCGUGAUGUUUGUCUCUUUAGAUUCAAUCAAUACCUUUCUUGCCUUUUCCAUUAUUUAGUGAGUUUUUUUUGUAACCAAUUACUUCAAAUGAAUUUCUUCAUAUGCCAUUAAGUUUCACGUCUCCUCUCCCCUCCCCUUUUUGCAUGAGUACUAUGAAAUGCAGUUAGAAAUUGUUGUUGCUAUCCAAAGGGGGUUUAAAAUUUCCAGUUACUCUUAUUUGUAAUCUUCAUCCAAAAAUGUAAUUGUGUGUAUACAUGUCAACCACUGGCAAAUGCAACAAUAUCUUGGUAUCCAUGUAUAAUCAAAAGAUAUUUUUGGUACAUUGAAGUUCUUGUCCUUAUUUAAAUUUAUAAUUUUAUUUGAAUAUGCAAUAUAUGUUGGGGUAAACUGUAGUUUUUUCUUUUUUUAAAGUAUUUUUUAUCCAAUAUGUGUGAGAUUGAUUAAUUCUGAAUAGUGAUAACGCAUUUUGCUUCUCUGAAUAGAAACAAUUCAUUUUAUACGGUAAAAUUAGUGGAUCUCAGUUGUUGAUGAUUGAAUAAAUGAAGGCUAGGAUAUGUUUUUGUAAGGUCUUGAUGUUAUUUUUUCAAUUGGUCAAUUUUAUUUUUUUAUAACACAAAUUUUGGGUGAGGAGAUCGAGCACUGGUUUAAGGCGUGAAAAGUCUUAAACCGCAAAGAACGUUUACAAAGAAAUUGACAUUUACCUUCUUUCAAUCUGAGACCUAUCUUUUUAUCUCUAGAUUAAACCGUUUAUUUAUUUUAUUAUUGAUUUCAUUGUAAUAAUUUCCGUUUAAUUUGUUAGAAAGGAAGGAUCAUAUUGAUAUAAUAACUUUUGUAAAAAAGAGACUAUUCUAGAACAAAAAAUGCUAUCACAUUUAGUAUUGGACAUAUCUUGAAUAGGAUUAAGUGGAGGGGAACCUAUGAUGAAUAAAAUAAAAGUGCUAUCGAAUUUGAAACAGAAAAAUAAAUGGAGCUACUUGAAACAGAAAAACAGAAGGCACACAUUGAGAUUUUUAGAAGUGAUGUGAAAACAUAUAGAACCCGCGUACAAAGAGUAAUGUUUAUUGAAACUACUCUUCUCCUAACCACAACUAGACGGUCUUACAAAUUAUAAACGUGUGAAGUACUUACUUGUCGCAAUUUGGACAUGAAAUUGUCAGCGUUUACAGUUACACUUCAAUGUCAACAUUGAUUGGAAAUGUCAAAAUAAAAUGUCAAUAUUGAUUGAAAAACAACAACGAAACCCAUACGCAGCCAAAAACGAAAAUAUCUUUUCAUGGACUAGUGUGUGUAUCUUUCGUUCUAUUUCUAGUCAAAAUUUAUUUUGUAUAAAAUAUAUCAAAACAUAAAUUAUUUUACGUUCAACUUACUUUUAUUAAAACCAUUUAAAGACAUAAUACAUUCACUCUAAAUUAAUUUUUAUCGAUGUAAAACCAAUGUUUUCUAAAGUGAACCUUGCAUUGAAAUGUUGAGAGUUGAGACCUCUCUGUCAUCAUUUAAUUAAUGUAAUAGUUGAAUUAGAUUAUAAAUAAAUAAUUCGAAAGUGAUCCAAUUGAAGUUAGGGCAAAGUCCUAUAUGGACUAAUCAAAAAUAAUUUGAACAUGAGAUCAUGGCCAAUCCUAAGAUUUUUGGUGCCCUAGACGAAUCAAUAAAGAUGUACGUUUUUAAUCAUUCAAAUGUCUUUUUUCUUGCAUUUUCGUUGGAAAAGAUUCGUUCAUAGGUUUUCUAAAAACGUAUUUUCAAUAGAAUCAAUCAAAGAGAGUUAAAAACAAAUAUUUCUAUAUAAUACUAACUACUAAUUAAAAAUAAUGAUUUUUCUGCUCCUUAAAAAAUGGUGUCAUGGAUUCAUGCCCUUUUCACCCACCCUCAGAACAUAAAAUAAAGUAAAAACAUAAAUUACACCUUGUUCACUUGCUUGCUUUUUAAUGAAUAUUGACAAUGAUAUAAAAAAAAUUCAAAUCUGUUUGAUUUUAACAAAAAUAAUUUAUUUUCUUCAAAGUUGAAUAAUUUAAUUAUGCUCCGGACGUUUAUCUUAGUAAAGUUAUUCACCUAUCGAAAAAAAAGGUACAAAAAUAGUUAUCCUUUGAACAACUUUAAUUUUUUUUUUUAUUCAACUUUUGAUUGUUAUGUUUUAUUAAUUUGUCAAUAUAUUUCAAUAUUAUUAUUAAAUAAUUAGAAACAUAAAAAGAAAAAAGACGUGGUUUGGUUUCAUUUCCCACAGACAAAAUAAUAGCAAAACAUGUCAACUCCACAUACUUGCUUAGCUCAAAAAGGAUAUAACAGUGCUGAUAAUUAAGUGGGAUAAUGAUAUUAAACCAAACACAUAAGAAAGUGAUUAGAUCAGAUGAACAAUGCCUGUAAGAAAGUCCAAACCGUCUAGUCCAAAUUAGUGUAUCUUAAUUUUCAUCAUUGAUUAAUCUCUUUAAAGUUUCAAUCAAAAUAAUAAUUAUUAAAAGUGAUAGGUACACAUGCAUGCCAAUUAAACAAGCCAAUAUGAACUACUUACCUUUGAUGAUGUAUCCGCCGGAGCCAUUAUUAAGAGUUUAAUAAGAAUUUGACUUAUAUUAUAUGUACCGACAACGUAUAAUUUUUGCCUAAAAAUACAUAAAUAUUUCGAUACACUCAAUCAACUAUACAAAUAGUCAAAGAGAUAUUUUUAUGUAUCUUUUAUUAUUUUCCUCUUUCUCCUUUGAGCUGUCACACAAGCCCUAGUUUCUUCUCCUUCAUCCACCAAAGAAUGGUGACUUAGGGUCAAUUUUUGACCCAAAAUCACCUCUCUGACUCAUUUUUCUAUUUUCCUUUUAUUGAAAUAAGUAAUUUCACAUCUAUUUUGUUUUUUAUUUUGUGAUUUCGUCGUCUUCGUGCGACGUUGGUUGUUCGUUGUCUUUGUGCGACGUUGUUUGUUUUUCUUGUUUCUCUCAGGUAUUUGAUCACUUCAGAUUGUCAGAUCAGCUUCGAUCCAGUGCAGAUCCAAUCAAUGACUUUGGCGUCAUCCACGUUGCAGAUCCGGAAACAUGGUUAUUCCAGAGAUUUAAAUAUAGUCAUAUGUGUAGGCAUUUGUACUUUGCCGUUUUAUGCUAUUAACAUGGAUGUUGUGAACCUGUUCACAGAUUCAUCCUUUUUGCUUUUAGCGAAUUUGCAUUAUAUCGAUGUACUCUUACAAUUGAAUGAAUGAAUGAAUAUCUUUUAUUUUGUCAAAAAAAAAUAAAAUUGUCAAAGAGAUUUAUAAGAGAGUAUAUAUGUAACAAUUUUUUAGCGUAAAAUAGGUAUCAUUUGUUUCAUUUAUAAGGCUAGAUUCGAACUCAUAACAGCGGGUUAAGUUGAAAGUGAUUUCUUAUCUUUCAUCCUAAUGUUCAUGGAUAAUAUUCGUAAAAAACUGAAUCAUUUAAGAUAAUUUUUCUAGAAUUUUUUUAAUAGUCAAACUUGUAUGUAAGAUUCGAGUCUUGCGUAUGUAGUUCGGUUGGUGUGUUAAAAGACAUUGAACGAGUUUAAAUAAGGAGGUCCCCAACUGAAUCACCAAAAAUGUAAUACUUGAGAGAAUCUUCAACUUCAUCGGCAAUUUACAAUAUAACUUAUAUAUAACUUACCAAUGAACUUUUUUUACUAAAUUAAACUUUUAGUGGGAUUAAUUAAUUGUGAUUGUUUAUACAUUUUAAAUUGAUCAGAAUCUAAGAAAAAUGAUUAAAAUGAGAAAUUGGUAUUAGUAAUUUCUUCAAAAUUUUGAUUUUAGUUAUUGUGACAGAUGAAUUAAAUUUUUAGAGUUUGUUUGGUUUUAUUUAUUUUUGGUGAAAUAAUCAUUUUCAUAAAUUUUCGCCCGUUUGUUAUAUAUAUAUAUAUAUAUAUUUAAAAGAAGAAUCUGAACAAAAGAAAAAAAAUUACUUCAAAUAAGAAGUUUUUUUUUAGGGAAAAUAAGAAGUUGUUUAAAACUUUAAAUAGCUUGUUAAAAAAAUCAUUUUUUUCAUAACUGAACUUUUUUAGGAAAAAAGUAGAUUUUCGCUAUGCUAGAGAAUAAAACAACUUCUCUCUCUUUCUUUUAAAUAAAAAUUAUUCUCUAAAUUAUUGAUUCUCAAUUUAGUUUUUUACAAUCCGUAAGAAAUAAAAGGGUCUUUUAAUCUCAAAUAAACAAAACUAUAAUUGAUUGAUGGUAUAAAAUAUUUUCAUUUUGCAACUGCAUUAAAAUCAUAAAGUUGAGAGGUACAUGCGUACAAUUAGAUCAGAUAGAUAUAGUUGGACGAUGGCGGAAGUUGUUAGAUGAGCAAAUUGCACAGUUGAUGGACUGGUAUACAGUAUACAGUAUAUGGUAUGAACCCUACCAAUUUGGAAGAAGAAAAAAGUGUCCAAAACCCCAACUAUCAACUACAACAAGCAAAUUGCGUCCCUAUCUAUCUAUAUAUCUAAAGUCUUGUUAGUGGAUGUGAAUACCAAUUAAUUAAUACUACCAUAAUUCAAUUCGUAUCACUAAUUUCAAUGUAUUGUCUCGAUAAAUAUUGAUUCAAUUGGUAAUAAGUUUAAAUAUCUCCGACAAGAAAAUGAUUUAAACUAUUAUGACUGACGUGAAGAUAUCUUCAGCGGUUGAUUUGUAAGUAUCUCCGCAAGUGUUUUGAGUUUUAAAAGUUGUCUUAAUUCUAUUGAGUCUUUAGGAUACAACUCGUCUAAAAAAAUAUAAACAAAUUCAAGGUCUUACAAAAUCGUAGCAAUAGCAAAAGUGAUUUUUAUAAGAGAAUUGUUGUUCCCACAUUUGGUUUGGCUAUGUCACACGAGUAAAUUACUCAAAUGUCCCUCGGCAGUAAACUACCGAGGAAAACUGAAAACUUCGGCAGUUAACUGCCAGAGGAAACCUCAAAUCUGUUUUUUUUUUUUUUUUUUAAUUCUUUAAGAAUAUUCCGCGGUCUUUAUCAUUUUUGAUUGAUUUUUCUUAAUAAUUCGUUUUUAAUUUUAAUGAUUUGCCUUCCUUAUUUAUUUUAAUUGUAUUACUCCUUUAAAUCUUUUUUUUUUGUUAUAACUGCUUUGAUCUUCAACAAUAGUGAAUAUUUUAUUUCCAAAGAACUUUCACGGAAUUUUCUUCUUUUAUUUCCUUUUUACGGAAAUAUUCACAAUUAUUUUAAUUGUAUUACUCAUUUGAUCUUCUUCUUUUUUUGCCUAUUUUAUUUUCAAAGAACUUUCACGAAAUUUUCUUCUUUUAUUUCCUUUUUCUUUGUUUUAGGCUUAACAUUUAAGUCCUCAAAAAACAUUUCAAUAAGUGUAAAAAUUAAGUAUUUGAAUAUUGUUUUGCAAAUUACUUAAAUAAAAAAAAAUCUUUGUACACAAUUAUUUUAAUGUAGAAAAUAUAACAACAUAUUAUACCUUAAAAAAAAAUCGUUGUUUUUUAACGAUUUUUUUAUUGUUAUUUGUAUUUAAGUAAUGUGCAAAACAAUAUUCAAAUGCUUAAUUUUUACACUGAUUUAAAUGUUAUUCUUAUUAAGAUAUAUACACAUAAGUAUAAUAUUGCAAUUGUUUAAAACGUACCAAAAUAAUGAUUGAAACAUUCAAAAUCAAUAAAUAUUAUUAAAGAUAAUUUAUGGUUUUUGUCAAAAAAAAAAAAAAAGGUUUGUUAUUAACGACAGUUUAUGGAUUUUGUCAAAACAGGUUUGAGGUUUCCUCGGCAGUUAACUGCCGAAGUUUUCAGUUUUCCUCGGUAAUUUAUUGCCGAAGUUUUCCUCGGCAGUUAACUGCAGCCGUAUUUCUAAAACUUCGGCAGUUAACUGCCGAGGGGUAUUUGAGUAAUUUACUCGUGUGACACAGCCAAACCAAAAGUGGGAACAACAAUUCUCUUUUUAUAAUAUGUGUGAGUAACGAGUAAAUUUUGGACAAACCCAAGUUACAAUGAGUGUCGGUAUAAGAUUCAACCAUCUAAACCUAGUUUGCUACAAAUAUUUUAAAGAAGAAAAAUGCAAAUUAUUUUUCAAAACAUCUCAAAUCGCUGACAAAGUUAGAAAAAUAAAACAACUAGUUAAAGAAGAGACGAAAGUUUCCAUGAGUAUAACUCGGUUGGUUAGAACAGUGAUUGCAAUAUAUAAAGGCUCAAGUUUGAACUCUGCAUUACCACUUAUUCAUAAUACGUAAAAUUCUAGCUACUUAAAAAAAAAAAUAUUACAUAAUACACAAAACUUAGCUCUCAAAUUUGUGUUAAUUUUACUUAUCAAUAAAGAGGUAAUAAAUUAUUGAAGUGAACAAUUGGGUGUGUUUUCUAUAAAAACACCAAAAAAUUAUUUUCAAAAAUACGCCAAUCUCAACUAAAAUGUCAUCUUCCCUAAAUCAUAAUAAAUUAUGAAGAGUGUUAUGAACACUCUUUCUAACACUUCCUAUUUUAUUAUGUGAAACUCAUGUGGAUCAAACAUUUUAAAAAUUAAUCUCACAUAAAAUGGUAAGAUCCAUAUGAAUUUCAUCAAAUAUAAGAGUAAAUGUGAGCAAGAGUGAAUAGAAUGUUUCUAAUAAAUAAUGGUUCAUUUCAUGUGUCUAUGUCUUGUUGAUUAUUAGGAAAUGGUAGCGUUCCACAUAGCUAAGAAUUAAUGGUUCAAUUCAUGUGUCUAUGUCAUAUUGAUUAAUUGAAAAUGGUAGUGUACCAUGCAACUCAGAAGUCCAAGCUCAAAAUGGACCAGACUCAAUCCUAUUACUCUCUUCGAUCAAUAUUAUAAGAAAAAAUCACUUUAAUGAUAAACUUGGGACAAUCAUUCAAGAGUUAAAUAUGUUCUUAGUCCUUAUAAAAUUACAAACUUUUAAGUUUGGUCCUUGCUUAAUUUUAAUAGGUUUUUUAGUCCCUGUAAAAUUACGAACUCUUAAAUUUUUGAAAGAUUUUUUUUUAGACAAGUUUAGAACACUAUGAAAUGUUUAUUUUCUAAAAUUUAGAAUUUUGUAACAUAAAACAAAUUAAAUAUGGAUUUUUUAAAACGACAAAUGUUAAAGAUAAAAUUAAUAAAAUCUGGAUGUAAAAAUCAAAUUUUGCGACAAUUUUUUACAGAGAAACUUUUAGUAAUAUUCUUAACACGUCCUGCAAAAAAUUGUUCAAAAACUCAAGAGUUUAAGCAUAAAUUAAACAAAUUAGAAUUUAGGAGGAACUAAUUCUGGGUGCACAAUUUUUUUUAGGGACUAAAAGAACUGUUAAAAUUAAAUAAAGACUAAACUUAAAAGGUCCAAUUUUAUAGGGACCAAAAACAUAUUUAACCCAUCAUUCAAUAAACACAAAUAAUUUUUUUUUUUAUUAAUAAUAGUUAUCAGAGAGAGUAUUGUGCAUAAACAAAAAUGCAGAUCACACUCUAGAAUCAUCAACCAGAUCAAAAGUUAUAUCAAUUAGAAAAGAGAAUACAUGAUUUUAAACCGAUCUUUUCACUUUCAAUUAUACGACAAAUGUAUUAUAAACACUUGGUAUACAAAUAAAAUUAAAAGAAAAAAAAAAAGUACACUGGUAUAGUAAUAUAAUAGCACGUGUGCGCGUGUAUGGUCGAUUAUUUUACGCAAGGAAGAUUUAAAGAUUUUCGUGGGACCUAAGGAUGAUGAUAUUGACACAUUCAAUUGACUAAUAGAUAAUGCAAAUCUCAUGCACUUUUCCUCACUGUUAAUGUUAAAUCAAUAAUUUUUAUGUACGCGAAGAAACUAAAGUUCACACACGUUUCAAUCAAAAAAUUUAGUUGUCAAUGGUCAAUAUAUCACAAUUUGUGUUUAGCAACAAAAAAAAAAGUAUUGCUAUAUUUUUAUUUUUGAUGUAAAAGUAUUAGUAGCUUGUUUAUUUAUUGUUUUGAAACAAAGUUUAAUUUUGACAAUGGGGAUACCACAUUAAUUACCACUAAUGAAAUUAAUUAGAAUGGCCCAACUUAGUUUUACGUAUGAACUCGGGCUCUUCAUCGGUCUACAUCAACCAGCCUCAAAAAUUACCGUACGAAACAGUGGGAAAAUAAUCGGAUAAAUUUUGUUUGUAUUGUAUUAAUAUAUGAAUCAAAAUAAUCUAUUCAAUAAUUUACCAUUUACUAAAAAUAAAAAUGAGUGACUUGUUGAGUUGGAGAAAUUGUUGUUUAGUAAUAUAAACAUUUCAUGAAAUAAAUGAUGUAUAUAUGUGCGACUUCUUUUAAGUGUUUAAAGUAAGAAGUUCUAUUUUAAAAAGUGUAAGUCCAAUGAACGUAAAAAUGGUGGGUGCUAGUAGCUCCCCACCCCAACAAAUAGAUAUCAUCCGCAGCUUUAGGAGCUAGUAGGAGCUAGUAAAGCAAGCACUUGAUUCACAAUGACAUUCUGAAUGUUUUUUUUUUUUUUGAUGGAAUGACAUUCUGAAUGUUUUCACUCAAAAUUCUCACAUUAAUGAUAUGAAACCCAUUUAUCCAACCAUAAAUUGAUAUUUUUACCAUUGUCAAUUUUCCUCACCACAUGCCACUGAAAGUCGUUCAAGAACCCUGAGAAAGCUAUCUAUAAUCGAGAAUCAAAAGGUUGAGAAAUGCAAACUAAACUAAAAUAAGAACUUCUCCCAUAUUUUCUAAGAAGCAUUCAACACCAAAGAUCAUCUGAUUUUUGAAUAAAGUUCGAAAGCAUCUUUAUGAGAAAAACCUCAAUCAUAUAUGUUUUUUUUUUAUCCCUAAUUCGCCAUUAAGCUUUUGUUGACAACAUAUAUCCCACUCUAUAAGGUGAGCCUUUCUCCCGUGCUCAGUAUUUCCCCACAUGAAAAUACGUUGGAUUUUCUCGAUCUUAUCAUAAAUAGAUUUGAGAAUCUUCACAUAAAUAGAUUUGGAGGAUGCUUUGAGAUCAUCUUAUAACUUGUGGUUGAACCUAAAACGACCCUACAGAACCGACUUACGAGUGAAGAUUGUCCCUACAUAUAAACACAUGUUUGAAUCAUCUCUUAUUCGAUGUGAGACUCUUCAACAUUCGGAAUUUAUAUAUGGAAAACAAUACAAAAUAAAAUUAAGAUAUUAGAAAACUUAAUAAACCUGAUCAAAUAUGACAAAUUUUUAAGAGGGGGUAUUUAAAAAUGAAUUUUAUGUUAUUAGCCACUAAAUUAAUAAUAAAUAUUUAAAUUUAAUUGACGUUUCGUAAUUAAAAGAAAAUGAAUUAUUUUUUUUUAUAAAUGAUGGCUCAAAGCUAGUAGAUUUUAUAAAAAUAUUUAUUUAUGUUAGAAUGAAAUAUAUAUUUUAAACAAGAUGAUUGUAACUCAAACAUCUUUUAGAGUAUAACUUAUAGUUUAGUCUAAGUUUUUAAUUCUUCACGGAAUUGAAUAUAUAUUUUAACUUAAGAGAAAAGAAGAGUGUAAUUCAAAUUUUUCAUAGGAAAGAGAAGUGUAAUUUAUUUAUUUAUUUAUUUUUAUUUUUUAUAACCUACGUACUUCAAGUAGCGUUUGACCCUAUAAUUUAUAAUGUGACAUUCUUUAUUGAAAUUUUACUUUUACUAUCUAAAUUUAAAAGUUAAACAUCAAUAAAACUAUAUACUUUUAUGUUUAUCAGUUAGUUCAACCAUUAAUUUUAUGAAACACUACAAAUUCAAUCAACUAUCUUAUUAGUAUCAAUUUCCCCCCAAAAUUUACCAAUAUGAAUUAAUUGUUGUUAUAAGCUAAUAAACUAGCUUAUAGUAAAAGUUAGGGGAAUUGAUACUAAUAAGAUAGUCAAAUGAAAAAACAUCGGUUAAUUUUUUUUUUUGUACAUGACUUUCUGCAAAAUCAACAAGUUGAGAAAGAAAUCAAAGCUCUCGGUUCUGGUGCGACACGUGGUUGUUGUUUCUUUUACGAAUUAAAAAAAUCACGGUUUCUCAAUUUUGUUUUUUUAUUGAAAUUGGGUUUCUUGUUCUGCAAUAUGUUGAUUUGGUAAAAAUAAAAUAUCAAUAAUUUUAUUUAUUGAUAGAUAGAUGGAGUAAAAGUAUUUGCUUUAAAAACUCACACACAUAAGUCAAGAAUCCCGAAUUCGAAUUCAGAUCACGACAUUAAAACUUAGCAAUUAUUAACCAGAUAUAUUUGUUUUUAUAAUUUAUUGUGUAGACCUUAAUGACUUAAUCAAACUUUACUGCCAUUUUUUAUUUCCUCUUUUUGUUUCAUAGGGUAUAUAAGUAUAAAUUUUUAUUUUAUUUUAUUUCUUUAAAAAAUAGUAAGGGUCAAGACCCACGUACAAGUAUAUAUGGGGCCGUCCUUGUUUAGAAGAUGCGUACACAUAAAAAAGGUAAUUCAAUGAACACGGUUUACCGAUUAGGAAAAGGCAAAGCUAAUGCAUAUCCAAAAAAUUCUGAAAACUUCAUAAAUCGUUGUCCAAAAAAGAGCUUCGUGAAUCAUUAUUUAAGCAAGUUGUUAGUAUUUAUCCAUUAAUCAAUGGAAAAAAUUGACUAACAAACCCAAUCAAGAAAAAUCCAAAAAGAAGGAAAUAUCUUAGCUGAUUCCAAUCAAACAAAGAGGAAUUUAAAUAUUAUUAUUCGCGUAACGGGGAUUACGCCAACUUCAUUACCACUAAACUAAACUAAUUAACAGCCACUCUUGACUCUUGACUACAUUAUUUCCUCAAAUUGUUUGUAUUUGCCACUGAACACGCAAAUAACGUCCCUUUCCUAAUCCCUCACCACCUAUCACCAUAUUUUUUUUUUACAAUGAGUAAGUAUUAUUCGUAAACAAUUUACAAAAUAGCUAUUUAAAAAUCACACAAGUGAAGAAGGGGAGUUCUCACACUACUACAGUAAAUCAAUAUACUAUCCACCUAUAUAAAACCCACACAUCUCUUCCCCUCUCCACACUUUCAUUUCUCACACAACACAAAAUCUUCAUCCUUUUCCUCCUAAAACCCUUCCAAUAUUCCAACACAAACUAUCAACCUAAUAACAUACAUAUUCAUUUAUGGAUUCACCAAUCACCACCAUCCACCCCUACAUACUCCAAUCCCACAUCCUCUCCCGACUUGACGGCACAUCACUCACCUCCGUCUCCUCCACCGCCACCCACCUUCACAACCUCUGCACAGAACACCACCUAUGGCAAAAAAUCAUCACCUCCACAUGGCCAUCUCUCAAUAACCCCUCCGCCACGUCACUCAUCUCCACCUUCCCAUCCUCUCAUCGCUCCAUCUUCUCCGACUCCUUCCCGUCCAUCCAUUAUUCAUCUUCAUCUUCAGAUACUUCUUCUUCAUCUUCAUUGGCUUUAUCUGCUCCGAAGGAAUUAUUCUCCGCAGUUGAUUUAUAUUACAAGGGCAGACCUGUCUUUUCAAAGCUUCUAAGAACAGAAACACAUAAAGGAUGGUUUCUUUGUUCACCUCUAUGGAUUGAAAUUCUAGAACCAAAUGAAAUUAUUGAAACAAAUAUUAAGUUUGAACAAAACGACGUCGUUGAAUGGUUAGAACAAAAUUUGAGUCUUAGUUGGAUUAUUAUUGAACCGACACGUAAGCGUUCGGUUAACUUGUCAAGCCGGUUACCGGUAACAGUUAGAAGACAUUGGCUUACGGGGGAGUUAGAGGUUUUAUAUGGUACGGUAAUGGGAAUGGUGCAGUGUAUGGUGAAGGUCACGUGCUGUGGGAAAGUUGGGGGUGAGAUGCACGUGACUGGGGUGAGUUUUAGUAUGGAGGAUAUGGAUGGAAGACAUUUGAUUGGGAGGGAUAGUUUGGGGAUUUUGGUUGGGGCUAUGGAGAAGGGUGAGAGGUGGAAAGUGGAUAUUGACAGAGAGAAGAAGAGGUUUGAGGAGUUUUGUGGGAGGAAGAGAGAGAGGAGAGAGAAAAAGUUGAGGAGAGAGAGGGUUAUGGAUAUGAUUAUUAUGGUGGUUGCCAUUGUUGUUUUUGCUUUUCUUUUUCGAUUUGUGAGGUUUUGGGUUUGAUUACACCUUGAUUACAACUUACAAGUAAGUUUACUUUGGGAUUUUUUUACCUUGUACAUGUAGGGGUGGGAAUAGAUAGCGUAAAAUAUUACUACUAAUUAAGGUUGAUAGAGAAAAAAGAGGAAGUGAAAAGUUGUAAUACAAAGGCAACCAACAUAUACAUUAUACAACUAUUAUUAUACAAUAGUACACUAUAAAUGUAUGUAUUGGAAAUUCAAAAGAGAAAUGAUAUUUGAACAUCUAUUUUAUGAUAAUUUUUGUGACAACUUUCUCUUUUAUAUUCAUAUUAUUUUUUACUUUAUCUCUCAAUUGCUUUAGUUUUUGUGUCAAUAAUUACUUUUUCUUUGUAAAUUAUGAUUGUCCCAAAAGUUAUCAAUCAAAUAGUUGUUCAAAUAACACUCCUUAUUUCAAAAUUUGUUGAAUCAUUUCUUCUUUUGAUUGAUAUACUAUGGUUAAGCACAUUAAGAGUAAUGCUGGUAAGAGAGAUAUUGUGUAAGAAUUUACAUGAUUUUAACUUCUGAGUGUGUUUGCUAUAGAUUUUGAAUAUGAAAACACAUGAAAAUGAAUAGUUAUGUGCAGUGGAUUAGUUGUGAAAUCAGAAUUCGAAUUGAUUUGUAACAUUAUUUUUCUAAACCAUCCAAUUUAAGAGAAUGAUGCCCUCAAAUAUGAAGCAUGUACUUUUAAUUUAUGAAAGUUAUUUAAUUUCAGGUAAAGUUUUUGAACAUCUAUCAUGUUUUUGAACCAGGGUAUGAAUUGGAAUAUAGCAAAAUUGAUUCUACUAGUAAUAAUAGACAAAAUUGAUCUAAGAUGGGAAAAUUUUCCAUUGUCCCAUAUACUAAAGCCCGUCGAUGCAAAAAGAUAUUAGUUUAUUCGACGUCACGUUUCUUUAGGCCUAACCAAAUAUUAGUUUAUUUUAGACCUAACCAAAUAUUGAUUUCCCCCAUAGUCAACUUCUUCUUUCUUAAAAUAUACACUUAGUAAACUCUUAUUAACAAAAAAAAGUUCAUAUAUUCGUAAAAAAAAAAUUUAAUAUAAAUGAUUUAAUACUUCAACUAUUUAAAAUAAAUAUAAAUCCCCUAAAAAAAUAUUGAUGUUUUAAUAUAGUUUUUAUUUUAUUUGACUCUAAUUUUUAUUUGUCAGUGAUAACUUAAAAAAUUAUUUUCGGCACGACAUUAGUUUGUGUAGGCCUAAACCAAAUUUUAUUUGGAGUUGAGAUGGAUUGGUGGAGACAUGGUUUAAUGCAUUUGUUGAGAAUUCGUUUUUGCAAUUGGUUAAUAAUCCAAACUUACUGGUGUUUCAUGUUUUCUGGUGUGAGGGUUCGGCUGCUGUUUGUGCAGUGGUUCUGUUUUUGGGGUAGUUAGUUUGGUUAUAUCAAGCUUAGGCUAGUUAUGUUCCUACUGUAUUGGUUGUUGUCUGUUUUAGCAGGAUAGUGAUGUGGUGUAGGCACAUUUCCUUUGUAUAGGUGGGUUUGGCAUGACCUUUGGGUUGGUUUGGCCUCUAGGUGUUCCGCCUUGUUUCGGCGCCUUUGUAUGUUCUCAUAACUACCCCGGUUAUGACAUCCGGCUUAACAACUUAUCGCAACGAAUAUAGUCAUUGUGACAUGUAACGUAAGUCAACAAUAAUUGUCGUUGCAAAACCUUUAGUUUUCACAGCGACAUCAAAUGUCGAUGCAAAACUUUUCGCAACAGAACUUAUGCCAACGACAUGCAACGAUAUUUUUUUCGCUGGGAAAAACACAUUUCGCAGCAACGUUGCAUUUUUCUCAACGACAUAUAUCGCUGUCAAAAACCUUUUUUCUUGUAGUGGUACCACAUUCAUCGUCGUUCUCCAAUCUAUCUUGGAUGAGAUAUUUCAUUCUCUCAACUUUAAGAUUCGAUUGUCCAAAUAUCUUAUAUUUAUAGAGUAGCCAAUAGUUGUGCGGAUCUUCUAGCAAACUUGAUCACAAUGGCUAAUUUAAUUGGACUAUUGUAGAUUCUCAUGCUCUUCUCUUAGUCUGAAGUUACAUUUUGAUGUAUAGCACCUUGAGGCUUAUUACUUAGUUCUUUCCUUCUUCUAUAAGAAAAAUAGAUAAAAAUAGCACCAAUAUAAUGAUUGGGAGAAAGUUGUGGGUUUGUCUUGCUUUUUCCUUUCUUGUUGCUUGGAAAAGUCUGUCUAGUAUAGCCUCCUUUGCUGUAUAAUAAUAAUAGUAAAUAAGAUUGUUUUAGCUGUUGUUGAACUUGUCUGUUUCAAUUAUUUCCCCACAUGAAAAAGGCACUUAAAUGUGGAUGUUUCAUGUUGGUCCUUGAAUUUUCAUAAGAAAUAAUAACACAUUUUUGUUGUGAAUGAUAUAAAUAACACAUCUUUAGCAUCUUGUGAAGGAAACAUAGAACAAAAUCUGGAGUAUCUUGUUUUGCCUUGUUGGCAAUGUUUAAAAUAUGGACGUUUCUCAACAACCUGAACAUGUGGAUGAUGAGAGAUUGACGAAUGUGGCCACUAGAACUUCGAUAAUUUAUCUUUUUUUUUUUUUUUUUUUUUUUUUUUAAGGAAUCAUUCAAGUAUUCUAUAACUUCUAUUCUUAACAUCAAUUUUCUUAUCUUAUCAAAAUAAUAAUGCCACCAAGCACUAAGGUCAAAACGUUCCAUUAUAUAAUUAAGUGAACUUUUAAUCAAAGUAUUUGUAAAAGUUCAAUCUAUUAUCACUGUUGAAUCAUGAAGACUGUUUGAUUUUAUUCAAUAACAUGAAAGAUGAGUGUUAAGGAUACAUGUUUAAUACAUAUUUUUAAAUACACUCUUAGGUUAUUGGUUAAAAUUCACAUGUGUCUUAUCAAAUUUAUGAAGAUCUACAUGAUUUAACGAGAUCUUUGUAAAUUUUAACUAAUAAAAGAGAUCAUGUUAAAAAAUGUGUGUUGAAAGCAUUAUUUAACAUGGAAUAUUCAUACAUUGACUUACGAGAUGAAUUACUUAAAAAUGUUCUAAAAAGAUAUAUCAAUUGUGAAUGGUCUUAACAUACAUGAGAUAAGAGAACAUGAAGAUAGAAGUUGACUUUGCCGUCAAAAAAAGAAGAAGAUAGAAGUUGACUUGUGUAUUCAGAAACAAUUUUCGUUAACAAGUCAUAAAACAAACUCUUUCGUUAACAAUAUAUGCAUGUUGUUUUGAAUGGUUAUACUUAGUUUCAAUUUAGAUUUUUUUUUUUCCUUUCUAUAUAAUCUUAUGAACAAUUAUUAGUGAUUUUGCACUUUAAAAAUGCUAGAUUUAUAUUAUUCUUAUUCUUAUUAUUUUAUAAACAAAGAGAAAUUUUAUUAUAUAAGAGAUAUUCCAUUCCAUAUCAAUGUUCAAAGUGCAUACAUCAAUUUAUUUUGAAGUUCAAAGUAACAACCAGAUGGACAUUUUAAAGGACAAUUAAAUCAACCAGAAUACACUAAAUCAGAUUCCCUACCAGCUCUAUCAACAAACCACCCCAUGGCACCAUUUUGAUUUGAGAUAUGAUUAUCGAAUUAUAAUUCGCAACCCCGUCUUGAAAAAUAACUUUGUUCUGAGCCAUAAGCACCAAACGAUGGUUACCUAAAUAAGAACAGGAGUUCUCUUCAAACACUUGCCCAGGACCAAGUUCCAUGCAUAACGAGAUGUCAAACACCUUCGUUAUGGUUUACACCUUGAACACGGAUUCAUUUAUUUAUGGUGGGCAAUACAUUAUGCGAGAAAGGAUUAGAUCAAGGCCAGUCUAACAUAAUAAAAGGUCUAAAGCAAAAAUUUUAAUGUGGAUUUUAAAAGUAUUUUUUUAAUAGAAUAUUAAUUUUUUCUUUUUUUGGGUCAGGUAGCCUAAUGGCUAGAAUUCACCUGGUGAAUAAGUGGGGUGUCCGGGGUUCGAACCCCGACCCCUACAUAUAAUAAUGCAUUGUCCUACCAACUGAGCUACGCUCACGGGACAACAUAAUAUUUAUAUAAAAUCAAUUUUGUGGAGACCAAAAUUUGAAUUCAUGACAAGAGUAAUAAAGGCCGUUUUGAUAAUUAGUUAAGUUAUGCAAAUAUCUGUAAUUUAUUGUCAUAUAAUAUAAUUAUAACCCAAUUAAUUUUUUAGGGGAAUUUUUUCCAUCCAAAAUUUUGAGGCUUAAAGCACUUGCUUGGGUUGCUUGGCCCUAGACUAGAUAAGAAGAUAUAGUUACUAAACUGAAUAUCAGUUUAGCAAAAAACACAAGAUAUGUCAUGAAUGGGCAGACAUUGCUCCCUUGUAGCCAAAACCUCUAGAUGAGAUCGGGAAAUGAAUAAAAGGAGUGGUGGCGGGGUCUCCAUGCCAUGCAUCAGCCAUGAGACACUGUCGUUUAGUUUUCUUUCUGACCAUUGGAUUUGUUAAACAUCAAAAUCCAGUGAUGACUUCCUCAAUGUUGAGCUUGCUUGCAUGGGCCCUACCUCGUGCCCUUCUGGAUAAAUGAUUAAUUGGAAUUUUGGAUGUAGUACACUACAAUGUUUUUAAGGUAAACUCUUUAGUAAUGAAAAGAAUUUUAUCAGCUUAUAAGGGUAAAUAUUGGUCGUCAUUGUAUUCAUAUUGUGGUCACUAAUAAAUUCUUUUUCAUCAUCAAAUAGUAUACCAAAUGUAUGACAUGGUAAAAGAAUGAAAUCAUAAUUUUUAUCAAGUACGAAUCAAACACAUAAUAUAAUUUAUAUCAUAAUAUGCCUAUUCUAUCUGCACACCAAACAAGCUUUAGUGUUUAGUUCAACAUUUUAAAUAAUUUUUUCUCAGUUCAAUAGGACACUUUACUAAUUGAUGACUCGUUGACACACUUGGAUGGAUUAUGUUAAUAUGUUUUUCUGCAAGAUGCAUGUUAAUAGAAUCUGUCUUAUAAUUAUCAAAUCACUAUCAUCAAACCACCAUUAUUGAACAUUCAAUGUAUCAAUUAGUGUAUAUCUUGACUAUGCUCCAAUGAGAAGAAUUAUUUGAAUUACAAUUAACUUUCUUUCAUGACAUUAUUAGAAUAUUUGUUUUUUUCUUCAUGACACCUAUUGAGCAAAUCAUUGACAUUUUAAUAGGAGAAAUAGUACUAUAGUAUAUCACUUUUUCUAACUUCUAACUAACCAAAUGGCCAUUGAAUAGUGACCACUUUUCUUCAUAUCUUCUUCUCAUUCUUCUUUCACUUUCAUAAUUCUCUGAUCCCUUUUCCUUUCCCUCUCAAUCAACUUAAAGCUUCAAUUUAUUGCUAACCCUUAACGUAUCUUCCAAUAUAUGUUGACAUAUUCCCACUUUUUUGGUCCUCAAAUCCCUUUACACAUUCAAAUAACGCUAUUCUAGGACCAAAAAGAACAAGUAUACAUGAUCUUUCACAACCCACUUUACACUAACUUCAAUGCUAAUAGUUCCUUCUUACCAAAACAUUGGAAAAAGCCCAUGAUGAUGACCUCAACUUGAACUCACUCAAACAUUCCUCCCAUAAAACUUUUGCAUCCAAACCAAACACCUUCCUAACCUCAUGUUUUUAAAUUGCAGUUGCGAUCGCGUCACAAUUCUAGAUAUUGCGAUCAAAUAUUAUAUCGCUGGCCAAGAUCGCAAUCGCGGACCUUUUUUCCCAUUAGAAUCAUCACUAUUUACAUAUGAUGCAAUAAAUCUUACAAAUUUGAGAUAUUUGCUCACUGAUUUUUUGUUUCACAAUUUCCAUUAUGUCCUCGUGUCAGACAAAACAUCUUAAACAGAAACAUAACAAGAUCAGAAAACGAGGUUGUUCCUCCACUUCUUCUUCAUCACCCUUUUCAAGAAGAUAUAGAUUUAAGAGAGCCAUUUUGAUGGGAAAGAAAAGUGGGUACAAUACACCAGCACCUAUGUGGAAAACAAGCUCAAAGUCACCUUCUAUGGCAACUCAUCAUCACCAUGCUAUGAAAAAGACAGCUUUGCAUUCUUCACGUACUGGAUUACCCUUCAAAGAGAAGAAAGAAAUUUCUGUGUCUGCUAGAAAACUUGCUGCUACACUUUGGGAAAUCAAUGAUUUAACUCCUUCAAGGAUCAAGAAGGAAUCAAUGAAAAGCAAUAAGGAAAGAGACAAAGUUGAGAGGUUAUGUAGAUCAGUGUUGUUGGGACCACAAAAGUUAGAUCCAUUGGUUAGUCCUUUCUCAGAGGUAAAUUACUAAAUUCAUAUAGAAGUUUUGUAGAUUUUAUUGUUUUCAAAUGUGAAUUGUGAAUAAACUUAAUUAGUCCAAUGGUGAAAUGAAAUCUUUUUUUUUUUUUUUUUACAAAUAUGAUUAAGGUAAAGCAGAGAACAAAAGGUAUUGAAGUUGAUGGCUGCAAAAGAAAUGUGUCAGAUUUAUCUCAUCAAUUUCACUUUGUUGAUCCCUACUUUAGAGGCAUGGAUGCUGGUUGCAAUGCUGAUUUAAUAGAGGUAAGUUUUGUAAUGAAUCUAAGUAACCAAUUAGAAAUGUGGUACAAUAUUUCAUUAUGCUUGAUCAUCAUUUACUAUACCAUUUUUUUAUUAGAUUAACUAAUGAUGAACAUGAUGAUAUGUUACAAUAAUACAAAUAGACACAUAAAUUGGCUGCGAAAUUUUUAAAAUUUGUUCACUUUGAUGGUCACGCACUUUUUAGUUGACGGUAAUACAAUAGAAUCACGUUGAACUACUAUGAUUGACAAAAGCUACAAUUUAGAGCUUCAACAAAAUCACGGCGUGUCAACGUGUUUUUUUUUGCUAAAUUCCCCAAUCCAAACAUACACUUAACAUAUUAUUAUAUAUAAAACUUAAUUAUAUUAGUUUUGUCAAAGAAAAAAGUUAGUUAUAUUAGUUUGUUACACAAGUUAGUUGUUCUUCUUAUUGACCAUAUAAACCUUAUGUAUGCAUUAAUGCAGUUCAUUCUCUCUUUAUCAAUAUAAUUUCCAUUUUACUUCUAUCAAGAAUAAUAAUACAUAUUAUAUUAUGAUUUCAUCUAUACUUAUUUAUUUUGGUCACGGUUGAGAAGGAUCAAGUUAAACUAUGUUGAAAUGCAGAAGGUUAGCAAUAAGCCAAAACACAAGAAGAAUUGUGGUAAAUGUAAGGUUGGAGUCAAGAACCGUCUUAAGGAAGCUAAAAGCAGUAUAUCUACAUCGAAGAAGCUUCUAAAGGUGUUAAGUCAAAUUGUUGUUGAAGAGAAGCAUUCGUUGAGAAGCAUGCCCCUCAUCUUGGCUAUGAGUAACGAGCUUGAUCGUGCCUGCAACCAAAUCGAUCAAUUCAUUCAAGAACAAAGCUCCAACCAGAACAAUAUCGAGUAUCUCAUGAAGCAUUUUGAAGAAGAAAAGAUUGCUUGGAAAAGAAAAGAAAGUGAGAAGAUUCGCGAGGUGAAAAUGAGCAUAGUGCAAGAGCUUGAAUUUGAGAAGAAGAUAAGGAGGCAAACUGAGAGACUGAACAUGAAGAUUUCCAAAGAAAUGGAGAACAUAAAAGAUUCCUAUUCAAAACUCUCUAAGGAACACGAAAUGGAGAAAAGGGCUAAAGAGAUUUUGGAGCAAGUUUGUGAUGAAUUAGCCAAAGGCGUUGGAGAAGAUAGAGCACAAGUAGAGGAACUGAAAAGGGAAUCGGAGAAAGUUCGAGAAGAAGUUGAAAAGGAGAGAGAAAUGCUUCAGUUAGCCGACAUUUUGCGCGAAGAACGAGUCCAUAUGAAGCUCUCAGAAGCCAAAUAUCAAUUUGAAGAGAAAAGUGCAAUGCUAGAAAUUCUAAGAAAUGAGCUUGAGAACUUUAUAAGAAAUAAAGAAGAAGAGAAAGGUGAUGAUAUUGAUGUUAAUCCAGGGCUUAAGAAACUCAAGGAUCUUGAAUUCUAUUUGAACAAAACAUUUUUGGAAUUCCAAAAUCUAGAUGAAGAUAAUAAUUCAAUUGAGCAUGAAGAUGAGUCAGUUGAGAGUGAUCUUCAAUCAAUUGAAUUGAAUAUGGACAAUGACAAAAAAAGCUACAAGUGGAGUUCUUCUUGUGAGAAUAUUCCACUUUUUGAGGCAAAAAGAGUUUCAAUUGAUAAAGAUAUAGGGAGAAGAUCUUUUAAAGAUUGGGGAAGUAUUUGCUUCAACAAGGGAACUACAAAUAGUACUAAAAAGAAGGACUUUGUUGGUAUAAAUAUUCAAGAAAGUUUUGAUCAGCUUGAAAGUGGACAAUCAAUUGAAUUUAUUUUUGGAGAUGAAAUACAAGAAGAAAAUGAGGGUUAUACCUAUAAGCCUAUGAGUCUAAGAGACCAUAUAUCAUUUCCAGAUUUUGAUAAAGAAAGUGGUAAACUUUUGAGUUUGAGGUACAUUGAUGGGGAAGCUGAGGAGAAUGCCCUGGCUUUGGAGGGACAUGAUAUGAAGAAAGAUUAUGCACGAAGAAAAUGAAAGGAUAAUUUUUUUUAGGGUUAACCGUGCUUUACCCCUCUGUGUAAUAUAGGUAAUUUCGAGUUUUCCCUCCUGUAAAAUUUUCUUUUUGGAUUCCGUCCUUGUAAUUUGAAGUUUUUUGGUUUUGGACCUUCAUGAAUUUUGACUGUACAAAAUUGAUGAUAUGACAGUGGGGUAAACCGAAAUUUGCUCAAAUUAAUAGGGUGUAAACCGAAAUUUGCUCAAAUUGCAGGGGGGUAAACUGAAAUUUCCUCAAAUUACAGGGGGAAAUUUUUUUCAUGAAGGUCUAAAACCAAAAAAUCUUCAAAUUACAAGGACUGAAUCCAAAAAAAAUAUUUUACAUGGAAAAAACCGAAAAUGACCUAUAUUACAGGGGGUAAAACACUAUUAACCCUUUUUUUUUAUUUUUUAUAGGCUAGCGUUAGUAUCAUAUUGAAAGGUUAUUCAAUUUCUGUUCUUAUGUUACUAUUUAUUUUUCAUGGAGAGUUUAUUUUUUGACAAAUUCAUGGAGAGUUUAUAUUCAGCACAAAGUUUAGACAAACAUAUUCUCAAAAUUUACCUAAAGUUGUGUUAAACUAAAUCAAACCUAAACUAUUUUCAUUCAUAUAUUAGGACGUCAACAAAUGCAUCAAUAAAAAAACUCAAAACAAAAUUUGUUUAAUAUUGAUUGAUUGAAUUACCUGUCUCUGUCGUUACUCUCAUCCAACAAAAACAUAAUUUGUAAUUGAUUAAUCGAAAAACAGUUAUAUUGAUUGAAUCAUGUACAUCUCCAUUGAAUUCUCACAACACAAUCUCACUUUUUUACCCUUCAUUGUUUUCCAAGAUACAUAUAUUUGAAGUAUCUUCUAAGUAUUUGUGGGUAUCUGUCGAAUAUCCUAUAAAUAUCUGAUAAAAUAUAUUUUUUAAAUUAAAAUAUAUUUUAAUUAAAAAUAUCCUAUAAAUUUUGAUACUCCGUAGGUAUAUAUCUACGGAGUAUCGGUAUCCAAUACAUAUUUAAUAUGGAUACGUCUUCGUAUUUAGAGUAUUCGAGCUUCAUAGAUAACAGGUCAGGUAACAUUAUCUAUAUUAUUUUCUAAUCAAAUUUUAACUGGUAAUUGGAGAUGGAAAUUUGGGUGCUUAAUAUAUAUAUAUAUAUAUAUAUAUAUAUAUAUAUAUAUAUAUAUAUAAGUUCAAAUCUUCCAAUCCUUCUUCCUUAUUUAUUCGUUUCAACGUUAACGUAUGAUGCAAGUAAACAAAGACUAAACUUCGGGCAUUAUUUUUCUUUUAGUUAGCUUUGUGCUUUAAUAAAGCUACUUUUCUUGCCAGUUGCCACCAACAAGUCUGUAUCAACAAACAGUGAACGAUGUAAACGUAUGGAACUCUGACAUGUUCGCAUGGUCGCAUAAUUGUAUCGAGUUAAUCUCAUUUGGAUUCUUUGAAUCAUGUAUUAGAUGAGAUGUGAAUCAUGUGAUCUCAAAAAAGAUUUAACAAGUUAUCUCACUUAUAAACCAUUUUUGUAAAGUUAACUUCAACUUAACUUAAAUUCUAAGACCAUUUACAAUGGCAAAAUAUAUUCAACAACCCUUAACACCCACUUUUUCAAUUCCCAACACUCCACAUUAUUUUCUCUCUCUUAAUUUAACACCCAUUUAAUUUUUACCUCUCCAAUGAUUUUUUCAUUCAACACCUUAUCCCACCAUAUUUUAUUUUUUAUUCUUAUUUAAUUUUAUAUUUUUGUUUUUAUAAUUACAUAAAAUUACAAUUAUCGAUUAUAAUUAAAUUAAAAUGAAGAAACACUUAACAAUUUUUUUUUUGUAAAAACGAAAUUUAUUUAAAUAAUUUUUUUUUAUUUUCUUAACAUAAAUAAAAUGCAAUACAACAAACUAAAUAAACACUAAAACUUCAAAAGAAAGGCUAAUACAAAGCUAAUAAUAAGAUUAAGAGAGUGAAAAACUUGAUUUUUUUUUUCUGUGUCCAAAUCAAAUGAUCCAAGUCUCUAUUUAUAGAGAAAAAAAAAAUACGAAUUUUGGUAAAAAAAAAUAAAAUUAUUUGCAAUGAAAUAAUUGGGUCCAAAUUAUUAAGAAGAUAAAAAUCCGAGCAGCCAAUCAGCGCGCGCCAAGUGUCUCCGUGGGCCAGGCAUUCAACAUGUUGAAUUGUUUCAACACUUCCCUCCUCCAACUCACUUUUUUCCCAUUUCAACACCCCCCACCUACAAUGGUUCAACAAGGGUUCAACAUGUUGAAUGGCAAAUUCAACAUGCCAUUGUAAAUGGUCUAAGAAAAAUUGUAUGUAAUUUACUAUGGUAAAAAAAAUCAACAUGUGCUUACAUACUGAUUUGAUGAUUAAGAAAUAGACAUUGAGAACAGUCAUACAUAAAUGUAUAGAAAAUUGCACACAAAUGAAAGACAAACUGCGCCAGUAACUCUUUUUCAUUUGCUAAAAACUGGGGAUUAAACUAAACAAUUUUUUUUACACUAUUUGAUUUAAAAUUUGGUCACGGGACUGCACAAAACAGGUAACAAGGAAUUGGACCUCUACAAUAAUUCUUCUCUCCAACCCAUUGGAGUUGAUGGUGUUGGCUUGAAACAUUAUAAUAUGCUAAACUUAAGAUCUUAAGUUUAAUUCUCACGAUGUCUAUUUCGGUAAAUUAACUUGGUUUUUUUAAAAAAAAAAACCUGUCCCCUGCCCAACCAUGAGACAACUUUGUACACACUAUCAAGAAUACAAAAACUCUAAACCCUUUGUCUUUUUUUUUUUUUUUUUUUUUUUUUCAUAUCAUGUACUUUGUAUAAUAUAUAUUGUUUUGCAAAUCAAAUGCUUCCUAUCCAUUUUUUUCUUUUCAAUUUGACAAGUCUAUGAUACGUACCGAAACACUUAUGUUCCGAACAAGACUAAGACCCAAUCUAGAUUGGACUUAGACGAGAACAUAAUUCAAGACCAUGCUCACCAUUCAAAAAAAUUUUUAUAGUUUAUAAACACUAGCGAUUCACAUCACACGAUGAUCCGUAGAUUGGGUUAAGAUCCUCUCAAUUUAUAAUCUUAUUUAUUUCUUCCAUUUGGAAAGAGAUACACGCAAGAAUGUCUGGAAAAAUUAUAAAACAAUUAAGGCAAAUGCUAACUUGUGCCCUCAAGGGCACAUGUUAAUAAACUUAGGGAAACGUUGACAUGUAUCAAAAGUCGUGCAUUCAACUUCUUAAAAGUUGACAUGUUAUGUUUUCCAAUGCAAAGCUGCUCUUUUUAAGUUGCUUAACAUGUACCCUAAGGACACAAGUUAACAUGAUUCAACAAUUAAUGGUGGUGAGUAUAAGUAUGAGAGAAAAUUGUCAUAAAAUUGUUAUAUAAAUAUCAUUUCUCUUUAUUCUAUCCACUACUACAAUAAUUUUAAAGUGUUUUGGCGUGUUUAAAAAAGAUUUGGAUACAUUUAAUGCCACACUUUUACAUUUAUAUUUUAAAAGCUGGUAAUGAAGAACAUGAAGAUAAUAAGAAACGAGAAUGCUAUCAUGAUCGCUUGUCACACAUAUUAAUGUCACAAAGAUGAAAAUUAUGUAUUGAAAGGUACAUCAAUUUAUUUUUUUAAACUUUAGAUGAAAAAAAUUCCCAACAAAUACUUACUAUUUGUCGAAAACUUAUCGUAUACUCUUAAAACACAAGUUAGGAUUAUCUAUAAAAAAAAUUAUGGUAUAAACAAAAAAAAAUGAAUUUAUUGAUUGGUGAAUUAUUUAAGGGUUAAUAGUGCUUUUCACCCCUGUAAUAUAGGUCAUUUCCGGUUUUCGCCCCUGUAAAAUUUUCGGUUUGAUUUACAUCCUUGUAAAACUUUUUUUUUCUAGAAAACAUUAUUCCCCCAUCCAACUCAGCAAAUUCGCUUACGUGGCGCUGAUUUGACAUUUUUUUUCAUUUUUUAUUAUUUUUAAUUAGCCACGUGCAAAUAAAUAUUUACACAUCAGAUUUUAUUUUUAAAAUAUUUGAAAAUAAAUUUUAAAAAAUAAAAAAAUCAUAAAAAGAUUCAGUUUUUUUUCCAAAAAUUUAAAAAAUCGAAAAAUAAUUUUAAAAAAAUUCAGAAAAAAUAUUAAGAUUUUUUCCGAAAUAUAAAAAAAACAGAUAUGACUAUUUUUCCGAAAUAUAAAAAACAGAUUUUUUUAUUUUCUGAUUUUUUAAAUUUUUGAAAAAAAAUUCUAAUUUUCUUUUCGAUUUUUAAAUUUUUUGGAAACAAAUAUGACUAUUUUUCUGUUUUUUAUAUUUCGUAAAAAAUCUUAAUAUUAUUUUGUUGAAUUUUUUAAAAAUUAUUUUUCAAUUUUUGGAAAAAAAAACUGAAUAUUUUAUGAUUUUUUGGAUUUUUUUAUUUUUUAAAAUUUAUUUUCAAAUAUUUUAAAAAUAAAAUCUGAUGUGGAUAUAUUUUUUACAUGUGGGCAAUUAAAAAAAUGGCAAAUUAGUGCCACGUAAGCGAAUUUGCUGAGUUAGAUGUGGGAGGAGUUUUUUCUAAAAAAAAAAAGUUUUACAAGGAUGCAAAUCAAAUAAAAAAUUUUAGAAGGACGAAAACCGAAAUCUAUAUUACAAGGUGAAAAGAAGUAACCCAUUAUUUAAUAGAUGUCCAUUUAUUUAUUAGAAGAAGUAGGAAUAUGUGAGUAGUACUGACUAUAGAUGAAGUCAAUGUCUGACAUGAUUAAUAAAAGAAAGAAAGAUAAGAAAAACCUGAAGAAAGAAACGGUGGUAGAAAGCAGUAUUGCACGUGGGUGGUGACACAUUGACAACACAGAAAAUAGAACCGCACCAUUCCUCUUCUUUGUCUUUACUCAUUCUUUGCCGACCCUUCCCAUACCCCCACUUGCCUUACCUUGCCACCCUUAACCAAGCAAGCAAAGAACAAUCACAAUCAACCUUUGCAACAGGUUUUGUAUAUACUACUAACUUAAACCUUAAUUAAACCCUAGCUAACUAGCUCCUUUAUUAUUAUAUUAUUAUUAUUAUUAUUAUUAUUUGUGUGUUGAGGAGGAAAAAAUAUAGGAAGAUGGAGAUUGUUGUUUCAAAGGAAGCUCAGAUGUCUAUUGCUGCUUCAUCUAUGUUUCCUGGUUUUAGAUUCUGUCCUACUGAUGAAGAGUUGAUUUCUUAUUACCUUAGAAAAAAAUUAGAUGGUCAUGAAGAAAGUGUUCAAGUUAUUUCUGAGGUUGAGCUUUGUAAAUAUGAACCUUGGGAUUUACCAGGCAGGUGUCUCUUUCUUUUCUAUGUAUUUUUGUUUUUAAUUUUAAAUAUUUGGAACUUAUUUUUUUAUUUUUUGCUUUCAAUUUCAUGUGUUGUGUGUCGUUGGUUCUUAAAUACUUGGAAUAGUUUAUUUGGAAGGUGUUGGAUUGUGAAUUAUUGGGUUGAUUUGCUUAGCUGGAAUUGUUGGUAUGUGACAUGAGAGUUUAUUCAAUUCAAUUACACAUCAUUUUAAUCACGCUUUUGGAAAUUGAAACCCUAGCCCGUGUUGGUAUCACGGUGUGAUACCAUAAUCACGUCGUUGUGAUUAUGACAUAUCCACCUUGAUACCAUACCAAGUUUCAACAUAUGAAAAAUGAAACCACGUGUUUUGAGCAUUGAAAAUGUUAUUUGGUUCCACACCCAAAAUAUGUACGUUGGUGGAACCUGGGGUGAUUCUUAUUUCUAUGUUGUGUGUGAACAAAUAAAUCACUAUAUAAGUGUACAAACAGAGGACUUUCUUGGAUACUUGCAUCUAAUUACUGCAUUGUAUGAAUUUAAUGUAGGGUCCAUUUAUGCCUCUCAUUAUUAUGUUGACCCCCCAUGGAAAACCUACACAUAUGUGCCUGAGUAGUUUCCUUAUCACUAAAUCCCCUCACCCUAAAUGCGUUGACACCAACACAUUGACAUAGACACGAUAGUCAUACAUUGACACCGGUAAUAAUUUGAGAAAUGUUGUUUAGAAGAUAAACACAAUUUAAAAUUGCUAUGCAUGUUUGAAGUUUAAAUUUAUCCAAUUAACUCAGCAGAAAAUUUGUAAGCUGACUAAAUAAUACUUGUUUCAAACCAGCCAAAUCAUUCAUUCAAUCAGAUAACGAGUGGUUCUUCUUCUCUCCUCGUGGAAGAAAGUAUCCAAAUGGUUCACAAAGUAAAAGAGCUACCGAUUGUGGCUAUUGGAAAGCCACUGGAAAAGAGCGCAACGUGAAAUCGGGUUCUAACGUCAUAGGUACGAAGCGAACUUUGGUGUUUCACUUAGGCCGUGCCCCUAAAGGAGAAAGGACAGAAUGGAUUAUGCACGAGUACUGUGUCAGUGACAGGUCUCCGGUGGGUAAUAAUCUGAAUGUAUCCUUCCUCUCCCUAAGGAUGUUAAAAUGCAAUAGUGAUUCAUAACUUCUAUGUUUUUUGUUUGUUAUGCAUGUUUCAGGAUUCUUUGGUUGUUUGUCGUCUCAAGAGGAACACGGAGUUUCGUGUUAACGAUGCUUCAAAUAGAGCUUCUUCAAGUCAAAUAAAUCCUGUACAUUCACAUGAAAGUGAUUGUGCUGGUCAAAUAAACCCAGUAAAUUCACAUGAAAGUAAUUGUGCUAUCUCAGAAGGCGGUACUGAUCAUAGAGAAAGGGGUAUCUGUGAACAAGAAAAGGAGGUUGAUGGUAGUUCGAAACGGGGAAGCAGCAGUUAUGGUUCAGCUUCAAUGGAACAAAUUGAUUCUAUGUCUGAAUCAAAUCAGCGACCAGCUAAUGACGGUUUUUUGACAGACUCUUCGGGCCAGCUAAAGGUAUAAAAUUGAUUUUGAAGUUUGAAUGUUAACAGAAAGAAACUUUUGUAACAGGAGAAUGAGCACAUUACAUGUAUAUUAUCAGAUUCAGCUUUUUGCAUCGGAUAAAAUUGAGCAUUUAAUCUUACUUACACCUUUGUGAUGUAGAUGGAUGAAGAGGAUUGUUAUGCUGAGAUAUUAAGGAAUGAUAUCAUAAAAUUAGAUGAAUCAUCAAUGUCUCAAGGAGCUCAAACAAGACCAAAUAACCUUGCACAUUCUCAUCCAUGCCAAGGCACUGCACAACGGAGAAUACGAUUAAGGGUUCCGAAAUCAACGCAUUCUCAACCAGGAGCUCGUUUCUCAAAAACAAUGCACCAGUCCAAGAGUAGCUUCAUUGCCAGAAUGACGAACCGUUUGAUGAUAUUUGCUUUCUUCGUUUUCACUCUCACGGCUAUAUUAUUUUGGUCUUCAUUGGGUGGUCACAAACAAGUUAGAAAUAUUGUAGGAAAAUUUCAGGUGUAAAUUGUGAUUAGUACUAUCCAAGUUUCUAAAUUCCAUUGCUGUUGUACCGCGCAGCGGCCAUAGGGAAUCUAAAUUCACUAAACUGGGUUUAAGAGGACUGAUAAAUUUUUAGAACAAUUUCCUCUACUUCACCUUUAUGAUAUGGCUCUGGAAGUGUAUUUUUGGAUAACAUUUUGUGGUUUUUUGAAUGUGCACAUCAAAACUGAUUAUGUGAGAGGGAAAAAUUCCUUCUGAAAUGUUGGUCAAAGAAGACUGAUAUUUUGUACUAGAGGUUCUAGAAAGAUGGUACUAACCAAAAAGGACCUUGCAGUUGCAGGUCUCCUAACCUCUAAAGGCCUUAAAAAUGACCUGACAUUCCUCUUAAGAACUACCCUCAUAUCUGUAUUUUAUCAUAGGUAGCUAAACUAUAACCACUUAAUAUUCUCAUAUGCACAUGAUAAUUUACUUGAUUAUUCUUGGAUAAUUUCAAUUGCUAUCACUAAAACUUUGAUCUUAAAUUAAUUUUUCUGCAAACUUAUUUUUCUGUCAAAUGAACUUAAAGUGAACUCCGUUUACACCGACUAUGUAUGUAUGUUAGGGGUGUUCAUAUUGAAGUUGAUUUAAAUGAAAAUUGCAAACUGUUUUUUUUUUUUUUUGAUGUCCGGGGUUUGAACUCGAAAAAACUGAAUAUUAUUGGACCUUCUUCUCUAAAAAUUGUUCCGAUUAUAAUUAGUAUUAGAUAUUACAUUAUUAUAUUAUUUGUUGAUUUUCAUUUUUUAAUGGUUUAAUUUAAUUUAUACUUUUGGUCAAUAUACUUUUGACUAUUUUAUAUGUUACAAACAUAAUCAAUCAUUCUUAUUUUAUAAUAUAAAAAAUUUAGUAUUUUUGUAAUUUUUUUUUGAAGUAAAGUUGUUUGCAUUAUGUAAUUAUAAAUUGGAUCAAGCGAAACUAAGGCCAAUUUAAUUGAACCAAAUCAAUUCUUCUAAAGAAGACACCUAAAAAAAUCUUUUAAAGAGGACAUCCAAAAUGAACAAAAUCACAUAAGACUCAAAUCUUUGAAUCGGAUAAUUUUUUCAUCUCAAAAUGAAUACAAACUACAUUGCAAACAUCCUUUAUUUUCAAAUUCUAUUGAUAUUUUACUUGUUGAGAACCACUACGUUGGAUCCAUUGGACCAGGUUAAUUUCCACAACAUAAAGAAUCCAUGUUUAGAUAAUGACUAAAAAAACACUCAUAUUUAACGUCCAUUUUUAUUUUUUUUUGGUAAUGACAUCCAAUAUAAAUCGAAUAUGAUUAUUUCUACUGGAGCAAAUCUUUAGAAAAAACAAAUUCUAAUUGACAUUUUAUUAAAAUACAAAAACUUUUCAUAGACUUGAGUCCUACGAUACACUGUAGUGUUCUCAACCAUAACAUAUCGCAAACUUCAUCUCCCCCGAAAACGCGUUACUCUGCAGGUUUCAAUCACACUCAUCACCGUCGUCGCUUUCACCUUCCAACCGACCUCAACCACCGCGUCACGUCACUCUCCGUUUCCAUAUCUUACCUCCUCCCAAACUUACUUUCUCACCCCCCAACCUCACACUCUGAGGAAAGAGGGGGAAACCCUAAACUCCUCACAGAUCGAUAAUGAAUCUAGCUUCUCCUCAAUAACACUCUUCCGUAAGUCUUCUCCUUCCAAUUCACACUCAUUUCCUUAAUUAUCCAUCAUCUUCAAUUACUUAACCCUAAUUUCAAUUUUCACUUUAAUUCUUUUACCAUUUUUUUGACUUCAUUUGACUUUCACGCUUAUCAAAUCAACCAACUGUAUCUUUGUAAGUUGUAGCUUAUAGUUAAUUGAUUUUGAAUGUUUAACAGGUGUUGAUACUGUAAUUAUUAUUAUUAGGAGGAAUCAUGUCAAGGCCUAUGUUGCUUGUUUUCUUGUUGAUUAUACUUAUAAUCACUUCGCAAUUCGAGUGGAAGCAACCACUUGUGUCUGAUGUUGAGUCCAACUCUAGUGUAACUCAAAAGCAACAUCGUAUUUCUAAUGCUGAAGAAACUGUUAAAGAGAAGGUUUUUCAGUUUUUUCUUAUCUCUUAUUUAUGUUUAGUUUAUGAAUUAAUGAUAAAUAUCUCUGUUUUCGAGUGUUUAGUUGAUAUAAUUGGUAGGUUUAGUUGAAUUAAUGGUAGGUUUGGUUUGUGACUGCAACCCCAAUAGCUUAGAUUGUCUCUUGCAUAUUGUUAUUGUUAUAGGCUCUGUUUGGAUAAACAACUUAUUUUCAGUUUAUAACAUAAGUGCUUAUCAUGAUAAGUGCUUGUGUAUAAUGUAUUUCUAUAGCAACUAAUGAAGUAAAGAUAGAUUAUUUUUGUAUAAGCUAUAUAGGAGAAUUAAUGAAAAUAAGCUGAAAAUAGAUUAUGAACAAUUUUAUAAGCUGUUUUCAUAAGUUAUCCCAAACAGUCUCACAAAACUUAUGAAAGCAUAUAAGCUCAAAUAAGCCAAUCUAAAUAGGCCCAAUGUAUUGUAUCACUAUGUAAGGGACUCAUUUACAAGAUUGUGCACAUAGCAAUAUAACAUAGUUUGGGAAUAUCAACACCCAAAACAAAUCUAAAUUUUAAACAUUAGCAUAAAUCUCAUCUUGCACUUGGCUUAUAUCUCAGGGUGGAGUCCAGUCAAGCGUUAUUUAUACCGUGUCAUUUCAUCUGAAUAUUUUUUCCGGAAAAACAAUUGCUUGACUAAAUUAUUCGCAUAGGAUACCGACAAAAAAACCAUCAAACUCACUGCCCAGGGAACUGAAACCCAUUAGCAACAAAAACCCAUAUUCCCUGAAUUUUUUACCGCCCUUUAACAGCAAAAGGACCAAUAUAAUUCCCUGUACUAACAAAAAUGUCUUUGAUUUCAAAAUCCACGUAUGGUUAACUUCAAACCUUAGAAUAGUAUAGAAAUGACAGAACCUUGAAUGAUAAACAUAUUUUGUAAUCUCUUCUUCAUAUUGAAGAUCUGUAUUCUUGGGCCUUCACUUUUGUGGCAUUAUAAUGAUGGAUUUAAAGAAAGGGAAAUGCUAACAAGAGCCCUAGUGCCCUGAGGGCACUUGAUGGAUUUAAAAAUUAGAUUUUAUUUUUUUUCAAUAACCAUUUUAUUCCUAUGGAACAAGUUCCCGUGAUGGGCAAUUUGAGGAAUACAAUUACCUUUCUGAUUACUUUAAGAAAAAUAAUGAAAAUAACUAUAUUUACUAAAGUGUGUGAUUGGGUUUUAAUCUGAUUGGUUGCUUCCUUAACAAAAUGAUUAAAAAUGGCAAUGGGGUAGCAAUUUGUUAUGAAUUUCCUUUGCACAUCUUACCAAUUCUUAACCAUUUAGAACGGAUAUAUUACUUUAUAUGGUAACUUGGAGCUUUUGCUUGGGGAGUUGCAUUUUUUUUAGCCCUUUUGGUAUUCAUUGGCAUUUUGUUGGGGAAUUGUGUGCACGCACAUAAGUGUUUAUAAAAUUCAUCAGCAAUGCUCAAGUUCUGUUCAAUAAUGAAGCACAAAUAUGUUUGUUUCCUUCACAUUACGGCAAAUUUUAAAAUAAUCUCUUUACCCGUCCUCUCUUAUUUUCAGCCUUCUCUCUCAUUUCCUAAUUCUAGAAUUUUCUCACCCACUACUCUCUGCAACUUGUUCCAUCUGUUAGUCGCAGCCCAUUUUGAGUGGGUAUUUUCAAUAUUUCCUAUCCUCCUAACCAAUGUAGUCAGAAUCGAGAUCCUACGUAGGAUUGGUCGGCCAGUGAAAGAAAGUAAACACAAGGCACGUAACACGGUUUGUAAGUAGGAUCGGUAGGUUGUUGAUAGAGUUGAGAGGAAUAGAUAGAGAAAAUAGAGGAAAAACAGAGGAACCAAGCAUAAAAACAGAGAUAAUAGAGGAAAAACAGAGGAACCAAGCAACAAAAUAGAGAAAAACAGAGGAAAAACGGCAAAAAACAGAGGAAACAGAGGAAAAUGGCAAAAAAACAGAGGAAACAUAGCAAAAACGAACCGGAGUAAAGUCGAAGGAUGGUCGAGGUUCUGUGGAACGUAGAAUCGUACUCUCCUACGAGCCAGCACUCGAUCCUGACUACACUGCUCCUAACUACUGAGGAUCUAACAUACUCCCCCUCACCCCCAAAAGAUUCACAGAUUUGAUAAAUUUGACCGAUUUGUGCAAGGAAACACAAAUGUGUGCAAUCAAUGAAAUCUUAUGAAAAACAAAUAUGAGUUUCCUUCUCAUAUUAGUAAGGAGUACAACUCCAAUCCAUUGCCCUUCUCAUAUUAAUAAUAUAUUUCCAUACUCUAUUUCCAGAGUAGCACUAGUAAUAUUCAAUAUUCCAUUCUAUUUUGCUUGGUUCGUAUCUACUUAUCAUAUAUUUUUCAAGCAUAUUUGUCUUAUCAAAUUGGAUACCCUGCUUCUAUUUUGUUUAUCUUAUACUGUAAUUCUUUCGAGUUAAAACAUUUCAUUUGAGUGAAUUUUGGCGAUGCAAUUUAAAUGUUGUCUCACUGGGAAUAGUGAUGCAUUUAUGGGUUUAGAUUUGAAUGUCUCUUUUUAAGAACAUUUGCACUUGUAGAAGAUAUAUACAAUGUUCAAUGGAACAUCACAUUCGUUGGAAAAUUGCAUCCUAUCCUCUGUAUGAUUCAAUGUUUAUCAGUCAUUAUAUGAAAAUAUUGUUCUAAAUUUUGGAGCCUGAGCCAUAAACUCUCUCGGUGCUAAAGACAAAAUGUGUCACACCAAAAACGAGAUAAGAGUCAGUUCAGAUAGAAUAUUCUCCAAAUACUUGUGUUAGAAAAGUUGAAAUAGUCUAACAAUGAUUAUGGAGUUUUCUAAACAACAAUUGUGUGCAUAAGUUAAGAUCAGCUUCGACACAAUCUCCAUAAAUGGUUUUAUCAUGAAUUAGAAAUCAAAUACUUAUAUCAGCGGAAAAACUCUUGUACAUUGCUCCUUGCGGUCCUAAAUAAGAGAAAGUUAGGUCAAUAACCAGUCCUAAAUAAGAGAAAGCGAGGUCAACAAAAGUCAAUGUGUUUGGUCUCUGACAAAAUACGUCGACUUUUGUUGACCCAAUUUUCUCUUACAUUUAGGACCAUAGGGAGUAAAAUCUAUUUCAAGUUGGCCCAUGUAUUAUGAUUCUUGUCAUCAUUGUAUAUAACUUAGUGCUAUAUCUUUGUAUAAUUGUUACAUGUUUCACGUGUAAGCUUUCUAACUCCAAAUUUUAUAACAGAUAAAUAUCUGUUGUGGCCAUGCUAUUUUAAUUUUACUGAAGUUCUCUUUAAAUGAUGGUGCUCUCUGCAGAUUAUUUUAGUACAGGAGAAGAAUAUUCGAAGACUUAAUGAACUUGUGCGGCAUCUUCAGGAACAACUGCAGCAGUGCAAAGGAAGCAAUGGAACUAUAAAUAGCACCGUAGGUCCUCUAACUGAGCGGAUUCUUGAGCUUGAGCGACAACAAAUUUUAGAGGAUUAAGCCUUUGCAGCAUGUUAAUGAAGCUAAUCUUGAUGCUCUAGUUGUAAAGUUGUUUCUUAAUUCCUUCAAAAGGGGUUGUUGUAAGUUGUAACACAUUUGCUACCUGUAUGAAUUACUAAUUUGAGCUCUAUCUAAAUGUAAGUCACUCAUCAUUUGUAUGAUUUAUUAAUAUGAGCUCUAUCUCAAUGUAAGUCACUUAUCAUUCGACUAGGGCUGGAAAUGAGUCGAGUCGAACUGAACCUGUCUGAGCUCGGCUCGACUCGAUAAGAAUUGGUUCGGCUCGAAACUCGGCUCGAGUUCGACACGAACUAUUUUUUCAGCUCGAGUUUGGCUCGUUUAAAGUUCACGAACAGUUCGGUUCGGCUCGUUAGGUUCAGUUCGGUUGCUCAACUCGUCCAAAAAAAAUUAUAAAAAAAAAGAAGUUAAUUCAUAGAUCUUUGAUAUUUUAUAUAUAAAUUAAAUAUUGAAUUAAAAUAAAAGUUCCCACAAACAUGCAUAUAAUAGACAUAAAUUAUAUAAAGUUAAAGAUUGCAUAAAUAUGAAGAAAAAUAUCUGAUACAAGUAACAGAGACAAAAAAAUCCAACAAAAUUCAAUUAAUUGUGAACAAAAUUCAUAAUAUUCUUUUACUUUUAAACUCCAACUGCUCUUCCCUUCAAGACAAAAUUGUAUUCAGCCACAUUUGUCACAUUUGAAUUAAUUUUUUUUAAAAACUAACUCAAAUUGAUUUAUAUAUAUAAUCAAUAAUCGAGUCAUCUCAUGAACCUAACGAGUCGAACUAUAUGUAGCUCAAGUUUAGCUCAUUUAAUUAACGAACUUAAUUUUCAGCUCAAGUCCAACUCGUUAGGUUCAUGAACCAAGUUCAACGGAUUAGAUAUCGAGUCGAAUGUCGAACUAUAAUCGAGUUGGUUUGGUUCAUUGUCAGCCCUAUAUUCGAUGGAAAAAUGCAGUGUUUAAAUAUUCUGUUCACCGAUAAAUAUCAAAAUAUGGCCGUGAACCUACUUGGGUUGGCUUGGGACCUUGGAAUGUGCUCUUCCUCAAGGUCUCAAGUUUAAAAAAAAUAUGGAUCGGCCGUUUUGUUAAGAAUAGAGUUAAUAUCAUGAGAACUGUGUGAAGAGAAUGGGUUGGAAAGGGAAUGCAGCAUUGCUAAUGCUAUGUUGCAAUAUUUGGCCAGAUGUGUUAUUAAUUUCUUGAAGUGGAGGUGAAAACACUAUUAGACGUUCGUUCAACAAGAAAUGUGCGCUAUUUCUUCAUACGUAUUUGAUGUCUUUCAUGAAUCUUGACUUCCCCUUUGAUUUGCUAUAAGUCUAUAACCUAUAGUUAAUCAAAAGUGACCAAGAAAAUUGUUUGAAAAUUCUGGAACGAAAUCUGUCUUUUAUCUAUUUGGACAGAGAAAAUUCAAUACGUAUAACUGUAUAAGUAAGAUUUGCAUGAAGGUGAUCAUUUGUUUGAGCACGCACGCAUUACGCGUAUAAAAAUGUCAACUACUAGAAGUUAAAAUAAUAGUCCUAGUUUAAUGUGAACAGAACUGCAAGGAAGGUCAUAACUUAAUUAAGGCACUCGUUUUUAAAUAAAUGGAAAAUUAAAUAACCUGUUGACAUUUUAGAAAAAAACAGGGUGGGUGGAUAUAUAAACAUAUAUAAAAACAAUCAUACGAGUUUCUUCUUUGUGUGUUGGUAUAGCCACUUUUCGUAAUCCUGAUCCAUUUCCUAAUAUUAAAAAGUGGAAGGUGAAGACUUUUUUAGUUUGUAUGUUAACCACGACUCUUCAACUAUAAAUGAAGACACACAACACAAAGUUUAUAUAAUGAAAUUAAAUUAAAUGUGAUGACAUUUUGUAACAUGUCCAAUUGUCCAACUAGAGAAUAGUCAAAUUGUUAAUUUAUAGUUCUCUUUAGCUUUACACAAAAAUAAUAAAGAUCAUUUACAUACAUCAGUAUAUGUAUAUGGUCUGGAUUCAGCAGUGCAUCUAAAAUUCCGGGUCAAUGUGAUCAAUUUCCUGUAUCAUUAAAGCAAACAGUUUCUCUUAGCAACGUGCAUGGUAUAAACUCUCUUAUUUUAGCUUUCUCCAUUACUAGCCACAAUUAAAUAAAUUUAAUGCUUAAUAUUUAAAGUCAAUCAAACACCUUCCUCCUCUGUUCCUUUCUCUUCAAUUGCACAAUAUAUAUAAUGACCCUAUUUGCUCCACAUAACAUAAACCACUAACAUAAUCAUAAUCCUAGAUAUUUUACUUCCUUUCAUUGCAACCAUUUUAGAAAGUUCUUAGGCAUAUCUUAGAAUCAGAACCGCCGAUACACUUCAACCGACGGUCUAUAAACUCAUCAUCGUCAGCUAUGUCUUCCGAGUUUUCGACUACUUCAUCAGUUUGUAGUACGGACUUAUCAUGUGUGUCUUCUGAGGCUGAAGAAGAGACAAGUGCUAUGGUUCUCCUAGGUUGUCUUCAAUGUCACAUGUAUGUUUUGUUAUCCGAGGCUGAUCCCAAUCCAAAAUGCCCUAAGUGUAAGAGUACUGUCUUGCUUGAUUUCCUUAACAACAAACAAAAUACCAGAAAAACAAGCAGCUAGCAAGAUGAUGAUGCACACCAUGUAUAAAUAAUCAGAAAGAUACAAAUUAACAUGUAUUUGUGCUAUUCUAUUUCAUGUUGCUAUUUAAUUAAUUAUUAUAUAUAGAUUGUUUUAAAAAAAUUAAUUAUAUAUAGAUGGUUGAUUACAUUUUCCUCUUGAAUUUGCUUUUCGUUAGAUUUCAAUGUUUGGAAUACAAAGGUAAAGAUAACCAUUUAAAUUUCAUUUCAUUUCACCGUAAUUGCGAUUUAAUAUUAUUGCAUAGGUCUUUAUAAUAUUUAUAUUGCGACUGUAAUUGCAGCAUAAUCCGCAAUUUAGUACUAUGAGAAAUACAAAGAUUGUUUUGAAUUGGCAAAAUAAGAACAUGCAAGUCAAAUAAAAAAAAAGACGAAUUGUUCGUGAUAAUUUGAUUCUUAAAUGGAACAAUAUUUUAUAAGAAUUUACUUAACUCAACUCUGAAUUACUAGACCUCUUUCCGCUAGAACUAGAGGGUGAACCAAAAAAAAAAAAGCAAGCAAGAUAGGUAGAAAUUUAUUAGUUUCCAGCGCCUCAUUUAAUGUAUGGGUAUGUACUAUCUAUUGAUAACUACAAGAGCUUGAACUAAUAAGCACCACACCCUCAAGUUGGGAGGUAAAGGUUGACGACACCUUAAAAAUCAACUCACUUAAUCAAGAGUUUAGCAUAGCUUUGGUAAUUACAUAUGUUGUUUGCUGAAGUUUAAGAAAGGAGAAAAGAACAUGUCUUAUAAAAUCACUAUCUCUAUCAGUGUAUAAAAUCACUAGGCUCAUGAUUUUUUUAUUAUUAUUAUUAUUAUUAUUUUAUUUAUAAUGUUUUUAGGUAUACACAACAAACUAAUUUUUUUUAUAGACAAAUGUUAAUAAU